This 47534-nucleotide long non-coding RNA is filed under the name Triticum aestivum (bread wheat). RNAcentral describes it as "long non-coding RNA (TAES_LNC006418)". The stretch from base 45808 to 45922 matches the Rfam family "MIR1120/MIR1122 microRNA precursor family". The record is from RNAcentral. Lineage: Eukaryota; Viridiplantae; Streptophyta; Magnoliopsida; Poales; Poaceae.
GGGCGGUGAGGUUAGGGUUUUUCGCAUGUGCACGCGACAUCAAGAUCUCGUGUUAGUUUCUUCAGAUCGAUUCAAGGGUUCAGUGACGAUGACUACGGCUUCAGGGUGCUGGUUCUUAGGGGAACAUGCAUGAAGACCUCCUGAUUGCCAUCGACCAGGUCUAGCAGACUCCGGCAUGGGAGCAGCGACGUAGGUGUGUCAGCAACUCGUUUUGUCAAUGACAGUGGUUGUUCGGUGGUCUAGGAAGCUUAAUGUAUUUUUUAUCAUAUGAUAGAGUAAAUUGCAGAAAACCACCACUUUGAGGGUUAGGUUUGCGAAAAACACUAUAAUACAUUUUUUUUACAGAAAACACUACGUCUUUAGUAAUCUUUUUGCAAAAACCACUGAUCGGCGGAUCUGGCUCUGUUAAGCGUGUUUAUGACAGAUGGGGCCCAUUUUCUGCUUACGUGGCGUAACUUUUUGUGCUUGGCGGGUUUUAAUCUAAAAUUACAAACUAGACCCUCAAAUUUUACACAGUCACCCCCUCCCCAAAAAAAAACGCAAUUGACCACCACUGGAGCAGAGCUCGUGCAAAUCAGCCUCAUCCCCCGCCCUCGACCUCGCGUUGACCAGGGCCCCAAUGCUCCUCCGUGGUGGAACUGCUCCUCCCCGACGAGGAUCUGGAUCGGGGGAUCCUCGUCGUCCUCCGUGGUGGGCGCCGUGGUCCCGGUCGCGGAACUUUGUGCCGGUGUCGGAGAGGCUGUCCCCUCUGCGUCACCGGAGUGAUCCCGCCCGCUCUGUUCGGCGGUGACGCGAACGCCCACGGCUGCUGCCCAACUCCGUCGACCAUGGCCAUCGGCGAGAAGGCGGUGUGGGGCUCGCGAACCAUGUCGCCGGCGCUGCCAACGCUAGGCUCUGGCGGUGACUCCUCGGGCUCGAUCAAAAUUGAGGACGACAGCAGCAGCUCAAUCCAGACCAAGGACGGCGGCGGCGGAGCGGAGGCGGGGCGGCCCAGAGCGGUGGCUAGACAGGGAAGUUGACAAGGGGUGGCAGUGGCGUGAUGCAGAUCGAUGCUCGCGGUUGGAGUGGCGGUGACUCGAUCUAAAGAUGGUCCGGGGCCGGCGAAGAUGGGGGAUAGGGGAAGGGCGGACAUUGUAGCCCCAGACGCUCACCACGUCGAGCUGUGGGGACGGUGGGGGCACGACGACAGCGGCCCGGGAUGCAGGGGCGGCAUUGAGCUCGUGUGCACGCUUGCCGGCUGCGGAGGGAGAGAGGUUGGGAGCGAGGGGAAGGUCUGUGGCGUGAUUGGAGGGCCUAGGAAGCAGGGGAGAAAAUUGGGGGGCUUUUUUGCAUUAAACCUAAACCGCUAUGCCACGUAAGCAGAAAAUAGUCCCUAUCUGUCAUAAACACGCUUAACAGAGCCAGAUCUGCCGAUCAGUGGUUUUUGCAAAAAGAUUACUAAAGACGUGGUGUUUUCUGCAAAAAAAAUGUAUUGUACUCCCUCCAUUCCACAAUGUAGUGCCUAUAGAUUUUUGUGAAAGUCAAACUUUGCCAACUUUGACCAAGUGUAUAGAGAAAAUUGUCUAUAUCUACAAUACCAAACAUGUACAUUCUGAAAAUAUAACUCACGAUGUAUCCAAUGAUGUACAUUUGGUAUUCUAGAUGUACCUAUUUUUCUGAAUAAACGUGGUCAAAGUUUGUAAUUUUUGACUUUUGUAAAAAUUUAUAAGCACUACAUUAUGGAACGGAGGGAGUAGUGUUUUUCGCAAACAUAGUCUUCAAAGUGAUGGUUUCAUGCAAUUUACUCUCAUAUGAUACUUUNNNNNNNNNNNNNNNNNNNNNNNNNNNNNNNNNNNNNNNNNNNNNNNNNNNNNNNNNNNNNNNNNNNNNNNNNNNNNNNNNNNNNNNNNNNNNNNNNNNNNNNNNNNNNNNNNNNNNNNNNNNNNNNNNNNNNNNNNNNNNNNNNNNNNNNNNNNNNNNNNNNNNNNNNNNNNNNNNNNNNNNNNNNNNNNNNNNNNNNNNNNNNNNNNNNNNNNNNNNNNNNNNNNNNNNNNNNNNNNNNNNNNNNNNNNNNNNNNNNNNNNNNNNNNNNNNNNNNNNNNNNNNNUAUAAAAGUCCAUGCCUGUGGCGGAUCCAUGUUGAAUUUUGGAUGCUCAAGAAACAAUUCGGGUAUAGCUGGUAGUGGUACUAUGUUUUCAUUAAGGAGAUAAUCACAUUCACAUUAACACAAAUGAAAGCAUACUUUUGCCCCAAGAUUCUCAGCCAGCCCCCGGACGCCAAUGAAAGCAUUGGAAGGACGGAAGGUUCGAACCACAGAUGGAAGAUUGGGUUAGUGUUGGAGGUAAUUUAACUCGUGGUCGAAAUCAGUAGGUCUGUAGGCGGUGGGUGGGUGUAACUGAUGGAUGAAGGCGACCGGGCGCAGGGAGGCGAUAACCAUCAAAAAAUAGCAGCAACAGCAAAAGUCGACGGGAGACGACAGAAGGAGAGGCGUAUGGGUCGGGAUGCUUCACUGCAGGGGGGGUGCAGUGCAAGGCUGCAUGCUUUGGACUUGGCUGAGAUCGUGAGCUCUCUCGCCUGUCACCUCAGCCACUUGUCCACCACCGUGCUUGCUCACCCGGCCGGACAAGGACAAUGCUCCAACCUCGAUGUCUCGGCCCAUGGAAAAUGCAAGUGUGUUUUUGUCUGUCUAUAUUACCUAUCUUUUUAGCCCGGUAUUGAGAUAAAAUGUGUGUAAUUUAUGCGCAUAUACCUCAGCAAAUCAGAACCAGCGUAUUCAUCUUCGUACAAACUGUGGAGCAGCCGAGCAGCGGCAUUCAUCUAAGGAAUAAUGUUCAGUAGCUCCAGGGAUUACACAACGGGUGCCAAUCAACUUGAUGCCGAUCUUUGGAUGGCAACAAGUUACGUUAUUUCAAAGCUGUUAAUAAAGGGUAUACACAAAGACUUUGGGUUUUCCAAAUCCUCUUCAUACCGCCAUCUCUCUUUCCAAGAUCUUCACUGUCACUCACCUAAUAAUUAUAUUAUUAUUUUUUGCUAGAAGGAUCGGUACCAAAGUACUCCCUCUGUAAACUAAUAUAAGAGCGUUUAAAUCACUACUUUAGUAUUCUUUUUUUUUUUGGAAAAGAGGGACUCCCCGGCCUCUGCAUAAGGAGUGAUGCAUACAGCCAUCUUAUUAAUGAAGCAACAAAAAGUGCGUACAAAGUUCCAUAGUCUCUAACUGAAAACAAUAAAAAGCAGCCCACACAGAGCGCAUAAGGCUAGAAAACACUAACUAGCCAAUAAAGGAGCCACAACCGGCUGGCUAUAGAGAUAGGGAAACUAAUUGCCUAUCCUAUUACAUGACCGCCAUCCAAACCGGUUGAAGAUAUCCCGAGCAACCAUCUCCCACCGGGUAGACCCAGUAACCAAAUGCUCCCUGGCCUCCAUCGGAGUGAGUAAUGACCAUGAACGGAUCAGCGCCGUAGCUCGGAAGAUAACCUGCAAAAAAUGAAUUCGUGAUGAUCUGUUAAAAACCAAAUCAUUUCUGCACAGCCAGAUGGUCCACAUUAAAGCGCGACUCCAACCCGAAUAUGUCUUGCUAUUGUAGAGUCAAUCCCAUAUAGCCAAUUCCCAAAUAAAGCAUUAACAGUAUUCGGUGGAGUUAUAUUAAAAGCAAUGUGGACCGUCUGCCAAAAAACCUUGGCCAGCGGGCAAUCAAAAAAGAGAUGUUUAAUUGUCUCAUCUCGAUCACAGAAACUACACCUAGUAGGUCCUGUCCAAUUACGCUUUAUUAAGUUGUCCUUUGUUAGAAUAACUUGUUUAUGAACAAACCACAUAAACACUUUUAUUUUCAAAGGUACUUUGACAUCCCAGACACUCUUGGAAGUUGGAAUGGAGCUUGUAUUAAUAACAUCAGUAUACAUAGACCUGACUGUAAAUACUCCAGACGUAGUCAACUUCCAGCGUAAUUUAUCCGGUUGGUCAGAAAGUUGAACCUCCAUUAGUCUCCUAACUAACUGGAGCCAAACCUCCCAACGAUUGCCCGCUAAUGACCGUCUAAACUGAAUAUUAAGGGGGAUAGAUUGAAAUACCGUUGCCACGAGCACCUCACGUCGUUGAGCAAUAAGAUAAAAAGACGGAUACUGAAUGGCCAGGGGUGAGUCGCCCAGCCAAGCGUCCUCCCAGAAACGUGUAGUGGCCCCAUUGCCAAUGACAACUUUUGUCCUAUUGAACAUUAAUUGCUUGACUUUCAUGAGCCCUUUCCAGAAAGGCGAAUCCAUCGGCCUAACUGUUACCUGGGACAAAGUCCUAGUCUGGAGAUACUUGCUGCGAAUGAUUUGCGCCCACAUAGCUUUCGAACCGCUAGCGAGCUUCCACAACCACUUACUAAGAAGGCAUCUGUUCUUAACCUCAAGAUUCUCAAUGCCAAGCCCGCCUUGGUCUUUGGGUCGACAGAUGAUAUCCCACUUAGCAAGCCGGUAUUUUCUUUUAAGCUCAUCACCCUGCCAAAAGAAGCGUGAUCCAUAGAAGUCCAGUCUUUUCCUCACUCCCACUGGAACCUCAAAGAACGAUAAGAGGAACAUAGGCAUACUCGUGAGUACCGAGUUUAUCAAAACUAACCGGCCUCCAUAUGACAUGAGCUUACCCUUCCAGUAGCUCAGUUUCUUUUCAAAUCGAUCCUCGAUACACUUCCACUCUCUGUUUGUUAGCCUACGAUGAUGAAUCGGAAUGCCAAGGUAGGAGAAGGGCAGACUUCCCAACUCGCACCCAAACAGUUGCCUAUAGGAGUCCUGUUCGUCUUUAGCCCUACCAAAGCAGAACAAUUCGCUCUUAUGAAAAUUAAUCUUUAACCCCGAUAAUUGUUCAAAGAGGCAUAACAACAACUUCAUAUUUCUCGCCUUGGCCAAAUCAUGCUCCAUGAAGAUGAUUGUAUCAUCAGCGUAUUGAAGAAUGGAUACACCUCCAUCCACCAGAUGAGGUACUAAACCACCCACUUGACCAUGGUCCUUAGCCCUUCCGAUCAAUAUUGCUAACAUAUCCACCGCGAUGUUAAACAAAACGGAGGGACAUUGGAUCGCCUUGCCUGAGGCCCUUAUGAGUCUGGAAGUAAUGACCGAAAUCGUCAUUGACUUUAAUACCCACACUCCCUUUUUGCGUAAAAGAUUCAACCUGAUGGCGCCAAGCCUCAUCAAAACCUUUCAUACGCAAUGCCUGUUGAAGGAACGACCACUUGACCUUAUCAUACGCCUUCUCAAAAUCCACCUUAAAAAUUACCCCAUCUAAUUUUUUAGAGUGAAUUUCAUGGAGCGUUUCAUGAAGGACAGCUACUCCUUCGAGGAUGUUUCUGUCCGGCAUGAAAGCAGUUUGGGAUUGAUGUACCACAGAAAGCGCAAUCUGUGAGAGCCUGUUUGUCCCGACCUUGGUGGAGAUUUUGAAACUAACAUUGAGAAGGCAAAUUGGCCUGAAUUGCUCAAUUCGCACAGCCUCCGUUUUCUUAGGAAGCAAUGUGAUAGUUCCAAAAUUCAACUGAAAUAAUUGAAGCUGUCCAGAGAAAAGAUCGUGAAACAUAGGUAACAGAUCCCCCUUAAUAAUCUGCCAACACCUUUUAUAAAACUCCGCCGGAAACCCAUCCGGACCGGGAGCCUUGUUGUUUUCCAUUUGUGCAAUCGCAUCAAACACUUCCUUCUCCGUAAAUGGGGUAUUCUAAAUGCUCUUAUAUUAGUUUACGGAGGGAGUAUGAAGCAUCGAAACAUAAUAUAAAUUACAUUGAGGUUCCGGACGACCACAACUGUCGGCCAAACGAGCCACCGACAUGCUAUUGUCGCCGCUUCCCUACCAGAGACCUUGUCGAUGACAGCCGAGAAGUCUUCGUGCAUGUGACCCUAACGACCAAAGCCUUGGAGCCAUAGUCAUCGCCAUUGAACCAUUGCAUAGAUUUGAAGCAGCUGACAUCAAAUCUCGCCACAUGACGAGAACCCCUACCUCGCCGUCCCAAAGAGACGGCAUGAAUCUACAUCAGAGCUCCGUCGACACGUCCAGACAGAUGAACUCAAGAAGGAUUAGAGUCCAGAAGACAAACUCGAAGAAGAAGUGUCGCCAUCCGCCCGAGCGCCGCACCUUCAAGAACUAAAAAACCUAACAUAAACUACUAAACGGACUGAAGGCAUUGGGCCUCCCCACCACCGGCCGCCGGAGAGGCAUGCAGAGGGGAGGCGAAUCCACGGGCUCACGGGUGAAGCCUGGAGGGGAUAGUUUGCCCUAGCCGUCUAGGGUUGGGGAAGGAAAACGAGAGAAAGUCGACGCUGAUUGUAUUUCUCCCCUCACUUGAUAAUUAGUUAAUUCAGUUAGUUGACCUAUCUGCACUCUAUUAAGUCGUCGAGUCCAAUACCAUUGUGGUAUUUAUCACAAGAAAAUGAGCUUCUUGCAUAAACAAAUAAAUAAGAUUCCAAUUUUUUUGAGAAAUAAAUAAGCUUCAGUGUUACAUGCCGGUAAUAAAUAGUAGCAUUUGCCUAACAUUCCUCGUGUUUUGGCUACUCAUUUUCAUUAUACUUGUUGUGUCCCGAGCAGAAGCUUUUGUAACUUAGUUCAUCACUUAGAAAAACUGACGAUCACACACAAGGAAAAGGGCGGCCGUAUAUGAAUACUUAUUACUUCCUUUGUCUCAAAAUAAGUCUUUAUACUAAAGUUAGUAUAAAGUUGAGACAUUAAUUUUGAAACAGAUGUGUACUAAGUUUGUACUAUAGAUAGUAUAAAGUUGAGAUACUUAUUUUGGGACGGGGAUAGUACUAAAUAAGAGACACAUGUAUUUUUGUGACAUAUUUGAAAAUGCAUCUAUUUCCCUAGUGUGUUUUCAUGGUAAAUGCCAACCUGAUUGGAUGGACCGUUGUUUGUUCAAGCAUAUUUGAGAUUAGUCCCUCAAGGUUGCAACUAAGAAGACUCUAGAUGACCCCUACUUCAAGGGCAGACGCCGGGCGCUUUCCGCCCUGUCUCCCUCCAGAAUGGGGACAUGAAAAUCCUCUGCCGUGGCCUCACCUCGAGGUUACAAAAGCAGAUCGGGGCCAUCAUUGACGUCGACCAGUCUGGGUUCCUGGCGGGAAGGAGCAUCUCCGAGAACUUCGUCUAUGCUGCCGAAGUGAUCCAGAGCUGCCACAAACGAGGGGCGCCUGCCCUCGUGUUCAAGCUGGACUUCGCCAAGGCGUUCGACUCGGUCGACUGGGGGGCGCUACGCCGGAUCCUCAUGGCGCGCGGCUUCCCCGAGCGGUGGUGCACCUGGAUGGACCUGAUCUUCGAGUCCUCACGGUCAGCGGUGCUGCUGAACGGCGUGCCCGGGAAGUGGUUCACGGUGCGCCGGGGGCUGCGGCAAGGCGACCCAUGCUCACCCUACCUCUUCCUCAUCGUCGCCGAUGUGCUGCAGUAGAUGAUCAGGCAAGAUAGGGGGUUGUUCCACCCUCUUGUUGAUGGCGAGCCCCCCCUGGUGCUGCAAUAUGCCGAUGACAUGCUUGUCAUCCUUCGCGCGGACUCCGGCGCCGCUGCCCGCCUCCGCCGUAUCCUCGACGACUUUGCGGCGGCGACGGGGCUGGACAUCAACUUCGUCAAAAGUACUCUAGUCCCCAUGCACGUUCCCGAGGAGGUAUUGGUGGAGACCGUUGGCGCUCUCGGCUGCGCCGUGCAAGGGUUCCCGCAAGCCUACCUUGGGCUUCCAUUGUCGUGGGAGAAGCUCUGCUUCGCAGACUUCCUGCCCAUGAUUGCGAAGGUGGACAAGUAUCUGGCUGGAUGGAGAGCUCGUCUUCUCUCCCCAGCUAGGCGUUUGGUCUUGAUCAACGCUGUUCUUGACGCCCUCCCCACUUAUGCCAUGGCGGCGAUGAUGCUCCCGCCUGCGGUGAUCAAGGAGCUCGACUCGCUCCGUCGGGCCUUCCUCUGGAAUGCGGCCGAACGCGCCUCUGGAGCGCAAUGCCUUGUGGCUUGGGAGCGUGUCUGCAGAACCAAGGCGGAGGGUGGACUGGGCGUCCGAGACCUAGCCACGCAGAAUCGCUGUCUGCUGCUCAAGAUGCUGCACCGGCUCCACACAGCCUCCUCGUCCUCGAGAAGGGCGCUGUGGGUGCGGGCGGAGCUCGACGGCCGCUCCCUUCUCUCGGCAACGGCCGGCAGGAACAUGGGGAGCACAGCAAGGCGCUGGGGGGAUGCUUCCGUUGUACCGCGGGAUCACUAGGGGGACGGUGCGCGAGGGGAGGCGGACGCCUUUCUGGCUCGACUCCUGGCUCCCGUGUGGGCCUCUCAUGGUGGCUCUUCCGGUGUUGUACUCACACACGACGCUGAAGGAGGCCACGGUGUGGCAGGUACGUGCGCGCGGCCUGGACAGUGUGCUGGUGCCCAGGCUUACCACUGCCGGCACCGUGGAGCGGGCUACCCUUCUGACCCUACUCGGCGACAAUGCUAUGGAGCCCGGCGACGACGAGCGCACAUCGAUGUUGUGCUCAGGCGCGCAUGGGGGCCUCGUGACGGCGGCCGUCUAUGCCCUGGAGAGGUUCGGCGGCGUGCAGGCGUCGUUCGCUGCAUUCCUCUGGGGGUGCGCUGCUCCCUCCCGCGUUCGCUUCUUCGGGUGGCUCCUGGUCCAACGACGGAUCAACACAAGAGACGUCUUGCUGCGCAAAACCAUCGUCACGACGGAGGGGGUUGUCUGCCCUGUCUGUUCGUGCGAGCUGGAGACGGCGGAUCACAUGGUGUUUGAGUGUCCUUUCGCCCGUUCGUUCUGGCGGGCUGUGGGAGUCGACGUGGUCGACAAAGGCUACCAGGUGGGCGCGCUCCAGGCUCUUGAUGUCCGGGGGGUGGUCGGAGAUAUUGCCUGCGCUACCUUCGUUCUUCUGUGCUGCUGGCAGAUAUGGAAGCACAGGAAUGCCGUGGUCUUCCGGGGGGCGGCGCCCUUCCUCGCGCGUCUCCUCGCUUGCUGCAGAGAAGACUCGGCCAUGUGGCGAGGACGCCUGAAAGUAGCUGAAAGGUCGUGCGUCGACACAUGGUUGCAGGUGUUCUCGUAUCCUGGGAGGUAGCCUGUGCUGCAUUGUUGAUGGUGUGAUCCCCCCCCCCUCUCUCUCUCUCUUUUUCCCUCCCAUGUAAAACUUCCUGUCUCCCCCCGGGGGUGUGAAUCAAUAGAAAAAGAAAAUUCAGGUGGAGGGCUCUUGCCCUCCCCCGGUGACCUUCAAAAAAAAGAUCGCACUAAGUGUAUAACUACGCCGAAACUAUCAAAGUGGAUCAGGUAACUGAGGCGAUGAGCUGCUUCCUACGUUCUUCAAGAUUAACCUAAAAAAAUAUCCGAACACGGAACACCUCAACCAUUUCUGUGCUAUCUUCUAUCCUCUUUCCACUGUUCAGAGCCACCAAGCCAAAUCCAAUUGGAUCCUCUGACCAUUCAGAGAGACGGUCAUUGCAAAUCCAUUCAGAGCCUACAACACAACUCCACUUUGAGCAACUGGAGCACUUGUGCAAGCCUCUGUACCAGAGCACAUGAACGAGCCUAGUAUCAUGUGCCGCUUAGAGCCUUCACAUGACUCAGGUCAGACCUUCCAAGCUAUAUGCCAGUUGAUCCUCGAAAGUUCAAUCAAAACCUCCAGGCUAAUCGUUUGGUGUCUCUCACUUGCGCUCAAAAGUGUGUGAUAGUCAGAUUUCGAGGUCCAACCAAUAUAUACCCCAACCAAACUCACUAAUUCGGUCAAGAGAGCUUCAUUUCAAAAACAUUAAUAAGGGAGAACUCCUCAGUCACGUGCUAAGUACAAAGGGCCUUCCACUAUAACAUCCAUGCCAAAAAUGUGAUUCUCUCAUCUUCUCCUUCGUUUCAAGUUAAUCUUCCAACACCCAAACUUCUCCACAUCCAAUGAUCCAUUAUACGAGAGUUUGAGUGUGGGGUGGUUAUCUUUGGAUGCACAAGAAGAAAAUUCAUCACCAAGCAACACCAAUCUUAUUACUUUGAAUGGUGUACUCCUCCUAGAUCGUCUAGGUAUGUUUGAGAGUCCUCAAAGUGCGAAGGAACCAAGAAGUUUGUGAGGGCUUAGAGACUGUCUACUUCUUUAAGAUCUACACCGAGUGAGGCUUUGCCUUUGCGGUUGAAGCCAUGGUGUAACAGGUUGGUAAACGCUUUUUCGACACUACCAAGAAUUUAAACUUUAUGUUAUUAAUGUUGGGGAACGUUGCAGAAAACAAAAAUUUUCCUACUCGUUUCACCAAGAUCAUCUAGGAGUUCAUCUAGCAACGAGUGAUUAGAUGCAUCUACAUACCUUUGUAGAUCGCGAGCAGGAGCGUUCAAAAGAACGGUGAUGAUGUAGUCGUACUCGACGUGAUUCAAAUCACCGAUGACCAGCACCGAACGGACGGCACCUCCGCGUUCAACACACGUACGGGACGGGAGACGUCUCCUCCUUCUUGAUCCAGCAAGGGGGGAGGAGAGGUUGAUGAAGAUCCAGCAGCACGACGGCGUGGUGGUGGAUGCAGGGCGUCACAGCAGCAGGGCUUCGCCGAGACUACGAGGGAGAGACGUAACGGGGGGGUGGAGGCGCCAGGGGCUGGUGUAUUAGGUCCCUCCUCUCCCCACUAUAUAUAGGGGUGCCAAGGGGGGGUGGUGCGCAGCCUAGGAGAUCCAAUCUCCUAUGGCCGGCGGCCAAGGGGAGGUUUCCCUCCCCCCCAAGGCACCUAGGGGUGCCUUCCACCACUAGGACUCCUCCUAGGGGGAAACCCUAGGCGCAUGGGCCUAUAGGGGCUGGUGCCCUUGGCCCAUGAAGGCCAAGGCGCACCCCCUACAGCCCAUGUGGCCCCCCGGGACAGGUGGCCCCACCCGGUGGACCCCCGGGACCCCUCCGGUGGUCCCGGUACAAUACCGAUAACCCCGAAACUUGUCCCGAUGCCCGAAAUAGCACUUUCUAUAUAUAAUUCUUUACCUCCGGACCAUUCCGGAACUCCUCGUGACGUCCGGGAUCUCAUCCGGGACUCCGAACAACAUUCGGGUUUCUGCAUAUACAUAUCUUCAUAACCCUAGCGUCACCGAACCUUAAGUGUGUAGACCCUACGGGUUCGGGAGACAAGCAGACAUGACCGAGACGACUCUCCGGUCAAUAACCAGCGGGAUCUGGAUACCCAUGUUGGCUCCCACAUGCUCCACGAUGAUCUCAUCGGAUGAACCACGAUGUCGAGGAUUUAAUCAAUCCCGUACGCUAUUCCCUUUGUCUAUCGAUAUGUUACUUGCCCGAGAUUCGAUCGUCGGUAUCCCAAUACCUCGUUCAAUCUCGUUACCGGCAAGUCACUUUACUCGUACCGUAAUGCAUGAUCCCGUGACCAGACACUUGGUCACUCUGAGCUCAUUAUGAUGAUGCAUUACCGAGUGGGCCCAGUGAUACCUCUCCGUCAUACGGAGUGACAAAUCCCAGUCUUGAUCCAUGUCACCCAACAGACACUUUCGGAGAUACCCGUAGUCUACCUUUAUAGUCACCCAGUUACGUUGUGACGUUUGGCAUAAUCAAAGCACUCCUACGGUAUCCGGGAGUUACACGAUCUCAUGGUCUAAGGAAAAGAUACUUGACAUUGGAAAACUCUAGCAAAUGAACUAUACGAUCUUGUGCUAUGUUUAGGAUUGGGUCUUGUCCAUCACAUCAUUCUCCUAAUGAUGUGAUCUCGUUAUCAAUGACAUCCAGUGUCCAUAGUCAGGAAACCAUGACUAUCUGUUGAUCAACGAGCUAGUCAACUAGAGGCUCACUAGGGACAUGUUGAUGUCUGUUAUUCACACAUGUAUUACGAUUUCCGGAUAACACAAUUAUAGCAUGAAUAAAGACAAUUAUCAUGAACAAGGAAAUAUAAUAAUAAUGCUUUUAUUAUUGCCUCUAGGGCAUAUUUCCAACAGUCUCCCACUUGCACUAGAGUCAAUAAUCUAGUUACAUUGUGAUGAAUCGAACACCCAUGGAAUUCUGGUGUUGAUCAUGUUUUGCUCUAGGAAGAGGUUUAGUCAACGGAUCUGCUACAUUCAGGUCCGUAUGUACUUUACAAAUCUCUAUGUCUCCAUCUUGAACAUUUUCACGAAUGGAGUUGAAGCGACGCUUGAUGUGCCUUGUCUUCUUGUGAAACCUGGGCUCCUUGGCAAGUGCAAUAGCUCCAGUGUUGUCACAGAAGAGCUUGAUUGGCCCCGACGCAUUGGGUAUGACUCCUAGGUCGGUGAUGAACUCCUUCACCCAUAUUGCUUCAUGUGCUGCCUCCGAGGCUGCCAUGUACUCCGCUUCACAUGUAGAUCCCGCCACGACGCUUUGCUUGCAACUGCACCAGCUUACUGCCCCACCAUUCAAAAUAUACACGUAUCCGGUUUGUGACUUAGAGUCAUCCAGAUCUGUGUCGAAACUAGCGUCGACGUAACCCUUUACGACGAGCUCUUCGUCACCUCCAUAAACGAGAAACAUUUCCUUAGUCCUUUUCAGGUACUUCAGGAUAUUCUUGACCGCUGUCCAGUGUUCCUUGCCGGGAUUACUUUGGUACCUUCCUACCAAACUUACGGCAAGGUUUACAUCAGGUCUGGUACACAGCAUCGCAUACAUAAUAGAACCUAUGGCUGAGGCAUAGGGGAUGACGCUCAUCUCUUCUAUAUCUUCUGCCGUGGUCGGACAUUGAGCUGAGCUCAAUUUCAUACCUUGCAACACAGGCAAGAACCCCUUCUUGGAUUGAUCCAUAUUGAACUUCUUCAAUAUCUUAUCAAGGUAUGUGCUUUGUGAAAGACCUAUGAGGCGUCUCGAUCUAUCUCUAUAGAUUUUGAUGCCUAAUAUAUAAGCAGCUUCUCCAAGGUCCUUCAUUGAAAAACUUUUAUUCAAGUAGGCCUUGAUGAUGUCCAAGAGUUCUAUAUCAUUUCCCAUCAACAGUAUGUCAUCUACAUAUAAUAUGAGAAAUGCUACAGAGCUCCCACUCACUUUCUUGUAAACGCAGGCUUCUCCAUAAGUCUGUGUAAACCCAAACGCUUUGAUCAUCUCAUCAAAGCGAAUGUUCCAACUCCGAGAUGCUUGCACCAGCCCAUAAAUCGAGCGUUGGAGCUUGCACACUUUGUCAGCAUUCUUAGGAUCGACAAAACCUUCCGGCUGCAUCAUAUACAAUUCUUCCUUAAGGAAACCAUUAAGGAAUUCCAUUUUGACGUCCAUUUGCCAUAUUUCGUAAUCAUAGAAUGCGGCAAUUGCUAACAUGAUUCAGACGGACUUCAGCUUCGCUACCGGUGAGAAAGUCUCAUCGUAGUCAACCCCUUGAACUUUUCGAUAACCCUUAGCGACAAGCCGAGCUUUAUAGAUGGUCACAUUACCAUCCGCGUCUGUCUUCCUCUUAAAGAUCCAUUUAUUUUCUAUGGCUCGCCGCUCAAUGGGCAAGUCAGUCAAAGUCCAUACUUUGUUUUCAUACAUGGAUCCUAUCUCGGAUUUCAUGGCUUCUAGCCAUUUGUCGGAAUCCGGGCCCGCCAUCGCUUCUUCAUAGUUCGAAGGUUCACCGUUGUCUAACAGCAUGAUUUCCAAGACAGGGUUGCCGUACCACUCUGGUGCGGAACGUGUCCUUGUGGACCUUCGAAUUUCAGUAGGGGCUUGAUCAGAAGUAUCUUGAUCAUUGUCAUUAAUUUCCUCUCCAGUCGGUGUAGGCACCUCAGGAACAUUUUCUUGAGUUGCGCCAUUUUCCGGCUCAAGAGGUAAUACUUCAUCAAGCUCUACUUUCCUCCCACUUACUUCUUUCGAGAGAAACUCUUUCUCCAGAAAGGACCCAUUCUUGGCAACAAUGAUCUUGCCUUCGGAUAUGAGGUAGAAGGUGUACCCAAUAGUUUCUUUUGGGUAUCCUAUGAAGACGCAUUUUUCCGACUUGGGUUCGAGCUUUUCAGGUUGAAGUUUCUUGACAUAAGCAUCGCAUCCCCAAACUUUUAGAAACGACAGCUUAGGUUUCUUCCCAAACCAUAAUUCAUACGGUGUCGUCUCAACGGAUUUCGACGGAGCCCUAUUUAAAGUGAAUGCGGCAGUCUCUAAAGCAUAGCCCCAAAAAGAAAGCGGUAAAUCGGUAAGAGACAUCAUAGAUCGCACCAUAUCUAACAGAGUGUGAUUACGACGUUCGGACACACCAUUACGCUGAGGUGUUCCAGGCGGCGUGAGUUGUGAAACUAUUCCACAUUUUCUUAAGUGUGCCCCAAACUCGUGACUCAAGUAUUCUCCUCCAUGAUCUGAUCGUAGAAACUUGAUUUUCCUGUCACGUUGAUUUUCAACCUCACUCUGAAAUUCCUUGAACUUUUCAAAGGUUUCAGACUUGUGUUUCAUUAAGUAGAUAUACCCAUACCUACUUAAAUCAUCAGUGAGGGUGAGAACAUAACGAUAGCCACCGCGAGCCUCAACACUCAUCGGACCGCACACAUCAGUAUGUAUGAUUUCCAAUAAGUCGGUUGCUCGCUCCAUUGUUCCUGAGAACGGAGUCUUGGUCAUUUUACCCAUAAGGCAUGGUUCGCACGUGUCAAAUGAUACAUAAUCAAGAGACUCUAAAAGUCCAUCAGCAUGGAGCUUCUUCAUGCGUUUGACACCUAUGUGACCAAGGCGGCAGUGCCACAAGUAUGUGGGACUAUCAUUAUCAACCUUACUUCUUUUGGUACUCACAUUAUGAACAUGUGUAGCAUCACGUUCGAGAUUCAUAAAGAAUAAACCAUUCACCAUAGGAGCAUGACCAUAAAACAUAUCUCUCAAAAAAAUGGAACAACCAUUAUUCUCAGAUUUAAAAGAGUAGCCAUCUCGAAUUAAACGAGAUCCCGAUACAAUGUUCAUGCUCAAAGCUGGCACUAAAUAACAAUUAUUAAGGUUUAAAACUAAUCCCGAAGGGAGAUGCAGAGGUAGCGUGCCGACGGCGAUCACAUUGACCUUGGAACCAUUCCCAACGUGCAUCGUCACCUCAUCCUUUGCCAGUUUCCGUUUAUUCCGCAGCCCCUGCUUUGAGUUACAAAUGUGAGCAACUGCACCGGUAUCAAAUACCCAGGAGCCACUACGGGCACUAGUAAGGUACACAUGUAUAUCACAUAUACCUUUGGUUUUGCCGGCCUUCUUAUCCGCUAAGUACUUAGGGCAGUUCCGCUUCCAGUGACCGCUUUCCUUGCAAUAAAAGCACUCAGUCUCGGGCUUGGGUCCAUUCUUUGGCUUCUUCCCGGCAGCUUGCUUGCCGGGCGCGGCAACCCCCUUGCCGUCCUUCUUGAAGUUCUUUUUACCCUUGCCUUUCUUGAACUUAGUGGUUUUAUUGACCAUCAACACUUGAUGUUCCUUCCUGACUUCUACCUCUGCUGAUUUCAGCAUAGCAAAUACUUCAGGAAUGGUCUUUUCCAUCCCCUGCAUAUUGAAGUUCAUCACAAAGCUCUUGUAGCUUGGUGGAAGCGACUGGAGGAUUCUAUCAAUGACCGCAUCAUCCGGGAGAUUAACUCCCAGCUGAGUCAAGCGGUUAUGCAACCCAGACAUAGUGAGUAUGUGCUCACUGACAGAACUGUUUUCCUCCAUCUUACAGCUGAAGAAUUUGUCGGAGACUUCAUAUCUCUCGACCCGGGCAUGAGCUCGGAAAACCAUUUUCAGCUCUUCGAACAUCUCAUAUGCUCCAUGUCUCUCAAAACGCUUUUGGAGCCCCGGCUCUAGGCUGUAAAGCAUGCCGCACUGAACGAGGGAGUAGUCAUCGAAACGUGCCUGCCAAGCGUUCAUAACGUCUUGUUCCGCAGGGAGAACGGGUGCGUCACCAAGCGGUGCUUGUAGGACAUAAUCUUUCUUGGCAGCUAUGAGGAUGAUCCUCAGGUUCCGGACCCAGUCCGUAUAGUUGCUGCCAUCGUCUUUCAGCUUAGUUUUCUCUAGGAACGCGUUGAAGUUGAGGACUACGUUGGCCAUUUGAUCUACAAGACAUAUUGCAAAGAUUUUAGACUAAGUUCAUGAUAAUUAAGUUCAACUAAUCAAAUUAUUAGUGAACUCCCACUUAGAUUAGACAUCCCUCUAGUCAUCUAAGUAUUACAUGAUCCGAGUUAAACUAGACCGUGUCCGAUCAUCACGUGAGACGGACUAGUCAACAUCGGUGAACAUCUUCAUGUUGAUCGUAUCUUCUAUACGACUCAUGCUCGACCUUUCGGUCUUCUGUGUUCCGAGGCCAUGUCUGUACAUGCUAGGCUCGUCAAGUCAACCUAAGUGUUUGCAUGUGUAAAUCUGUCUUACACCCGUUGUAUGUGAACGUCUGAAUAAAACACCCGAUCAUCACGUGGUAUUUUGAAACAGCGAACUGUCGCAACGGUGCACAGUUAGGGGGAACACUUCUUGAAAUUAUUGUGAGGGAUCAUCUUAUUUACUACUGUCGUUCUAAGUAAACAAGAUGCAAAACAUGAUAAACAUCACAUGCAAUCAAAUAAUAAGCGUGACAUGAUAUGGCCAUUAUCACAUAGCUCCUUUGAUCUCCAUCUUGGGGCUCCAUGAUCAUCUUGUCACCGGCUUGACACCAUGAUGUCCAUCAUCAUGAUCUCCAUCAUCGUGUCUCCAUGAAGUUGCUCGCCAACUAUUACUUCUACUACUAUGGCUAACGCGUUUAGCAAUAAAGUAAAGUAAUUUACAUGGCGUUUCUUGAUGACACGCAGGUCAUAUAAAAGAAUAAAGACAACUCCUAUGGCUCCUGCCGGUUGUCAUACUCAUCGACAUGCAAGUCGUGAAUCCUAUUACAAUAGCAUGAACAUCUCAUACAUCACAUAUAGAUCAUUCAUCAUUCAUCACAACUUUGGCCAUAUCAUAUCACAAACCACUUGCUGCAAAAACAAGUUAGACGUCCUCUAAUUGUUGUUGCAAGUUUUACGUGGCUGAAUUAGGGUUCUAGCAAGAACGUUUUCUUACCUACGUUAAAGCCACAACGUGAUUUGUCAACUUCUAUUUACCCUUCAUAAGGACCCUGUUCAUCGAUUUCGCUCCAACUAAAGUAGGAGAGACAGACACCCGCCAGCCACCUUAUGCAACUAGUGCAUGUUAGUCGGUGGAACCGGUCUCACGUAAGCGUACGUGUAAGGUUGGUCCGGGCCGCUUCAUCCCACAAUACCGCUGAAGCAAGAAAGGACUAGUAACGGCAAGAAAGUUGACAAAUCUACGCCCACAACAAAUUGUGUUCUACUCGCGCAAGAAGAACUACGCAUAGACCUAGCUCAUGAUGCCACUGUUGGGGAACGUUGCAGAAAACAAAAAUUUUCCUACUCGUUUCACCAAGAUCAUCUAGGAGUUCAUCUAGCAACGAGUGAUUAGAUGCAUCUACAUACCUUUGUAGAUCGCGAGCGGAAGCGUUCAAAAGAACGGUGAUGAUGUAGUCGUACUCGACGUGAUUCAAAUCACCGAUGACCAGCGCCGAACGGACGGCACCUCCGCGUUCAACACACGUACGGGACGGGAGACGUCUCCUCCUUCUUGAUCCAGCAAGGGGGGAGGAGAGGUUGAUGAAGAUCCAGCAGCACGACGGCGUGGUGGUGGAUGCAGGGCGUCACAGCAGCAGGGCUUCGCCGAGACUACGAGGGAGAGACGUAACGGGGGGAGGUGGAGGCGCCAGGGGCUGGUGUAUUAGGUCCCUCCUCUCCCCACUAUAUAUAGGGGUGCCAAGGGGGGGUGGUGCACAGCCUAGGAGAUCCAAUCUCCUAUGGCCGGCGGCCAAGGGGAGGUUUCCCUCCCCCCCAAGGCACCUAGGGGUGCCUUCCACCACUAGGACUCCUCCUAGGGGGAAACCCUAGGCGCAUGGGCCUAUAGGGGCUGGUGCCCUUGGCCCAUGAAGGCCAAGGCGCACCCCCUACAGCCCAUGUGGCCCCCCGAGACAGGUGGCCCCACCCGGUGGACCCCCGGGACCCCUCCGGUGGUCCCGGUACAAUACCGAUAACCCCGAAACUUGUCCCGAUGCCCGAAAUAGCACUUCCUAUAUAUAAUUCUUUACCUCCGGACCAUUCCGGAACUCCUCGUGACGUCCGGGAUCUCAUCCGGGACUCCGAACAACAUUCGGGUUUCUGCAUAUACAUAUCUUCAUAACCCUAGCGUCACCGAACCUUAAGUGUGUAGACCCUACGGGUUCGGGAGACAAGCAGACAUGACCGAGACGACUCUCCGGUCAAUAACCAACAGCGGGAUCUGGAUACCCAUGUUGGCUCCCACAUGCUCCACGAUGAUCUCAUCGGAUGAACCACGAUGUCGAGGAUUUAAUCAAUCCCGUACGCUAUUCCCUUUGUCUAUCGAUAUGUUACUUGCCCGAGAUUCGAUCGUCGGUAUCCCAAUACCUCGUUCAAUCUCGUUACCGACAAGUCACUUUACUCGUACCGUAAUGCAUGAUCCCGUGACCAGACACUUGGUCACUUUGAGCUCAUUAUGAUGAUGCAUUACCGAGUGGGCCCAGUGAUACCUCUCCGUCAUACGGAGUGACAAAUCCCAGUCUUGAUCCAUGUCACCCAACAGACACUUUCGGAGAUACCCGUAGUCUACCUUUAUAGUCACCCAGUUACGUUGUGACGUUUGGCAUACCCAAAGCACUCCUACGGUAUCCGGGAGUUACACGAUCUCAUGGUCUAAGGAAAAGAUACUUGACAUUGGAAAACUCUAGCAAAUGAACUAUACGAUCUUGUGCUAUGUUUAGGAUUGGGUCUUGUCCAUCACAUCAUUCUCCUAAUGAUGUGAUCUCGUUAUCAAUGACAUCCAGUGUCCAUAGUCAGGAAACCAUGACUAUCUGUUGAUCAACGAGCUAGUCAACUAGAGGCUCACUAGGGACAUGUUGAUGUCUGUUAUUCACACAUGUAUUACGAUUUCCGGAUAACACAAUUAUAGCAUGAAUAAAGACAAUUAUCAUGAACAAGGAAAUAUAAUAAUAAUGCUUUUAUUAUUGCCUCUAGGGCAUAUUUCCAACAAUUAAAUCAUAGAAAUGUUGUGGUUUUAACCUCCGUCAAUAAGAACGUUUGACGAUACCAACUAUUCAAACAUGAGGAAAAUGGUGUUUGCAAUCUCUAUCAAGUACUCCCUUACUCAUUGAAAGUUUUAUCUCCACUAUAUUAGUCAGGAUGUAUUUCAUGAUUCAACAAUCCUAUAUAUCCCUCUAUAUAUUAUCGUAUGCAUUUGAACAAGUCAAAUGCCUGACCAGUGGCACCUCAUCAUCUCCAACGACCACCCCCAACUACCCAUCAAAUCUUAAAUGCAGCCCGUUGUUUAUAUGUCCUUUCUUUUUGCGGGGAGUUGUUUCUGUGCCCUUGAUCAUAUCUUGCUAGUACUGGCCAUCUAAUAUUUUAGUUGGAGAAAAUUGGAAGUUCGGAAAAUUGAUUGUGUGAUUAACUAUUCCCUUCAAGGUUGUGUUUCUGUAGUAUAAUUUAGUACGACGAAAGAAAGAGCUUAAAGCCGAAGAUAUGGUAAUCCGUAUUAUCUUUUUCUUCACCUUUAGUGAGAAAUCCGUGUCCGCCCCAGCAAGAAAACAUAUGUGCGUGUACAGAAGCACAACAACUUUCACGCUCAUUCCUUACUCCAAAACUAUAGGUUUUAGCCCUCCGUUCGCUGGUCGCCAAAGACGAUACUCAACCAUCUGACCCUAAUCAUGUAAUCGAAGCUCGCGAUCGUAACCGCCCCGCUCGUUCAUAUUACACGUGAAACUGUCCGAAAUAAAUAAGUGUUAGCAAUUCAACACUCAGUUCCAAUCUAGGGCUGUUAGAGACAUUUCAUCACACAACUCAUACAACAAUCAUAGGCUGAAAUCUCAGAAAAGAACUAGACGGUGGAUUUUAUGAGCAGUUGAUUUUGUGGGCAGAUUACCAAAAUCACAUUCUGAAGAAUCAUGGGGGAAAAGAAUUGGCCCAUACACACCCUCCAAAAGGACGUCCCUUCCCCAAAGGGCAGAUGCCAAGCCACAGAAAAGCAGCAGUCCAUGGGACUGCAGAUCCUCAGCUCCACGCCGGAGCACUCCUCCCAGCACUCUUCCGGCGCGUCCACGGCCACGACCGAGUCGGGUGCCGCCGGCCGGCUGCCGACGCCGCUGGGCCUACCUGUCGCCAUCCCCGACGAGGCCGUGACCUCGCGCUCGGCGUCGGCAUCGGCGCAGUCGGCGUCGUCGCGGUUCAAGGGCGUGGUGCCGCAGCCCAACGGGCGGUGGGGCGCCCAGAUCUACGAUCGCCACGCGCGCGUCUGGAUCGGCACGUUCCCCGACGAGGACGCCGCGGCGCGCGCCUACGACGUGGCCGCGCUCCGCUACCGCGGCCUCGACGCCGCCACCAACUUCCCGCGCACGGCCGCGUCGACGGAGCUCGCCUUCCUGGCGGCGCACUCCAAGGCCGAGAUCGUCGACAUGCUCCGCAAGCACACCUACUCCGACGAGCUCCGCCGGGGCCUGCGCCGCGGCCGCGGCAUUGGGGGCCGCGCGGAGCCGACGCCGUCGUGGGCGAGGGAGCCGCUCUUCGAGAAGGUCCUGACGCCGAGCGACGUCGGCAAGCUGAACCGCAUCGUGUUGCCGAAGCAGCACGCCGAGAAGCACAUCCCCCUGAAGCGCGCGCCGGAGACAACGACCGCCGCUGACAAGUGCGUGCUGCUCAACUUCGAGGACGGCGAGGGGAAGGUGUGGCGGUUCAGGUACUCGUACUGGAACAGCAGCCAGAGCUACGUGCUCACCAAGGGCUGGAGCCGGUUCGUCCGGGAGAAGGGCCUCGUCGCCGGCGACGUCGUCGUGUUCUCCUGCUCAGAGUACGGACAGGAGAAGCACUUCUUCAUCGACUACAAGAAGACCAUGACGGCGAGUGGCGGCGCAGCGGCGUCGCCGCCGCCGGUGGUGGAGACAGGCAAAAGAGAAGAAGCCCAUGUCGUGAGGCUGUUCGGCGUCGACCUCGCCGGAGAGAUGAGGGGGCUAGCGGCGCCGGCGGGGCUGGAGUUGUUCAAGAGGCAAUGGCAUUAGCGAGUAUGUUUGGUUUUGCAGCUGAGAAAUCUUUGCUAAACCAGUAGGAGUACUAUACUACUCCCUCCGUUCCCAAAUACUUGUCUUUCUAGGCAUUUCAAAUGAACUCAACAUACGGAUGUAUGUAGACAUAUUUUAAAGUGUAGAUUCACUCAUUUUGCGCCGUAUGUAGUCAUUUGUUGAAAUCUCUAGAAAGACAAGUAUUUAGGAACGGAGGGAGCAAUGUUCAUGAUCCUAAACAUGGUGGGCAUUGUGAGCUUAAUUACAUGAAGAGAAAAUUUGAACGGCUUGUUGGUCUUGGAUUGCAUUACGAUACUACGUAUUAAUUUGAUUACUAGGAGUAGUUCAUUCACAUGGCUAAAUGUGCCAAUUGCUAUCCUCAUUUGCAUUCAUUUUGGGGAAAUAUUGCGCAGGGUUAUCUCUUGCUUGAAUGGAUCAUAAAUUUGAGCAUUCAUCUUGUCUAAAUGACUAAAUCUCCAAGUAGCUUCAACUUCAUCAUUCAUUCAUUCUUACAUCAGUUAUACGAAAAGGGGUGGAGUGCAUAAUUUGUAAGAGUUGUCAUCAUGAAGCAUGAAUACACAGAUUAAAGAUUUUCGUUUUUCUCUAUUUUCUGGUUGUUUUUUCUAUUAAUGUUCAUGGCCCUACUGUUUUAGAUCUUGCUAGCAUAUACUUUCACGAAUAAUAUGCUCUGCCGGAAACUAUAACAAAAGUUAGUAACCUAUAUAUGUUACUUGUAUGUACUUAUUAAAGAAUAGCCUCACUCGUGGUAGUGCAAAAAAAGUAUUUUUCAUGCACUCAACUUACAAAAUUAUUUCCUCCGUCCGAGUUUAUAAGCCCCCUCGAAUUUUGAGUUAUACGCCAUAAAAAGGCUCAAAAUUUUGAGGGGUUCUAACGAGUCAUGAGGGGGCAGGUAGUACUCCCUCCGGUCCUUUUUACUUUGCACAUUGGAUUUGCCGAAAGUCAAACUUUGCUAAGUUUGACCAAAUUUAUAUUAGAAAUUAUUAGCAUCUAUAAUAUCUAAUAAAUAUAAUAUGAAAAUAUAUUCUAAGAUGAAUCUAAUGAUAUUGGUGUUGUUAUGUGAAUGUCUAUAAUUUUUUAUAUAAACUUGAUCAAAGUUGGAUGAGAUUGACUUCGGACAAAUCUAAUAUGCAGAGUAAAAAGGACCGGAGGGAGUACUAGUAGUAUUCUUUGUGCUACAAGAAACCAUGGUGUUUUCCUUUUCAAUUUGAAAAGGAGGGCCUCUUGAUUGAUGCAAACAACCAUUACAGCAUUAUGCUAAUUAAAUUACCUUUUUUACACACACUAUAAAUUGAGAAACUCCCCACUCAAUUUCUUUUGAGAAACUAAAGGUGGUGAGCAAAAAAUGUUGAUUUUGCCACCUGUUCUUUCAUUAACGAAACCGCCCUUUCGAGUGCUGAUAAAAACGUGUUGCGUUUGAGAGAAUGAACAGUUGAUUUCGCUGAUUAAACAUUAAGGUAUAUAUACCUUCGAUACAAAGACAGUAAUUACAUAGGCGGUAUGUGGUGGUUGCCUUUUUAAUAAAAAAUACGGGAAAUUUUAAACUUAAAAUAGAGCAUAAAAAGAUACAAACACAAUGCACAAGAACUGUUCUGUGUUUCCGGCCAGGAGAUGCUCACGGGCCAUCUCAAUCCUUCAUGACUCGGGGCUAAAUCUCGUGUUUUGACCCUUUUUUGAAACCUAUUCAAGAUUUGAUUCUAAUUUAAGAAAAAUCAAGAUUUGACCCUUUUGCUACCGCCAGGGACUAUGGUGGUAAGGUAUAACAGUCUAUCGCCAAGGUCCCUAGCGGUAGGGUUAUAUGCCCUACCACCAAAAAAACUCCUAAGUAUUGAACACAAUGCGUGCUCGUAUCUAUCGCCAAGCAUCUUGCCGGUAGGGUUGUGCAGGCUACCGCCGGCCCGGUUAACAAUACCGAUGUUUCCUACCGCCAGAGACCAUGGCGGUAGGCUGGAGCCAGUCUACCAGCCUACCGCCAUGGUCUCUAGCGGUAGCAAAAGGGUCAGAUUAUGAAAAAAUUUCAAACUAAGGUUCAGAAAGGAGUCAAAACAGGAAUUUGCCAGGACUCGGAAGGCGUGGCUGUGGCUGCUACGGCCGUAUUCAUGGCUGCCACAGCACAGCCGCUGGGCUCGUCAGCUGCCCCAGUGGGACCCAGUCCUGUACCCGCGUCAGAGAUGCAGACGACCGUCUUUGCGGUCAAAUAGUCAAUUGGCCAAUGGUUCCCGUGUCUUCGUGCCCAAGUCUUUCGAUCAUUUGUCGUAAAAAAGUCUGUCAAUCAGUUCAUGUCAUGUGUCCCGUAGCGAUGCACUGUAGCAUACUAGGUGCAGAUUUUCAUGCAACUUUACGCGUCACAUUUUCUUCCCGUUGGGAUACCAUGGCCCGGGAGAAUAAUCCGGUGAUACCAACUCUCCUUUGUUUCCAUGCUCCCACUUCAGAAGGAAAAAAAAGAGAAUUUAUGUGUUUUAAAAAUAGCUAAAAGGAUUUAUGAACGUUCACAAGACAUAUAUCUAUCAUCCUUAAAAGUUCCAGAUCCAAAUUCGAAUACACAUUUAUUUGCAAACAAAUGAAUACACAUUGAGAAAAUGAAAAGGUAAAGCCAGAUUUGAGCAGUGUCAUCUAGGGGUGGAUUAAUGAGCUGCUCGGCUCGUUAAGCUCGUUACGAUUAACGAGCAGGAAACCCUGCUCGGCUCGAUUCGUUUGAAACUCGUUAAACUCGUGAGCGCUCGUUAACAGAUUCUGAUGUGUCACGGUCUGCAUGAUGAGUGUGUAUAUGCGUUUUAUAAGAAGGAACAUGGCGAGUACAAAAGAAAAUGCACUAGCUUGUUGUCUCCUAUGUAGAGUAGAUUGAAUAGAUGGGAUGAAGUGCUACAAAAAUUUUGUCACGUGCGAUAAAAAUAUGUGUUGUCUUGUUACUAACGAGUUUAACGAGCUACUCGUGAAACUCGUUAGCUCAUUCGUUAAGCUCAUAAAGCUUAACAAGCUAAAAUCAAUGAUUGACUCUAUUCAUUAAGAAGCGAGCCAUGAGCUUAACGAGUCGAAAAAAAUUCAAUUAAACAAAGGCGAAAGCACCUGCCUCGAGAUAUUGCAGUGUCCCGAUUGGCGAUCCACGAUCAGGCGACAGCACGACGCCCCAGUUCCUGGCUUUCCGACGAGUCGUGUGUUCCUGGGCCCAGAACGAGAAUUGAAGGCCCGUGCUUGCCGAAAGUGGAUCUUAGCCCAAGGAAGCCUGGUCGCAGGAGGACACUGGAGCGUUGUUCUUUCUCAUUUUUAGUGAGUUCUACGUGUGAAAUGAACACCAUGCAUGAUAUAUAUGCAUAUAUGAGCAUCUAGACUAAAUAUCUAUUGCAGAAUGCAUUAGGCUAGCUCCGCCCCUCAUACAUGCCUUCCUAGUUCAGCCCACAUGACCCACAUAUCAUGUUUCCCUCUCUUCGAAGGCAAAGUCGAGGGGCUUUUAAGUCAUGUAAAUUUACCGGUUUAGAUGAAGUUCAACAUCCAUGCAUACUUUGGCAUCACAUCAUUUUAAAACUACAGGAUGUGCAGUUGCUUUAUGUUGACAUAAUAGUUUCUUAUUCUAAUGGCGCCCAAUCAUUUAAACAACUACAGAUACAUAAAUAAAAGGAAAUUACACAGCAACACACAAACAUUUAGGUACUCUCUCUCUCUCUCUGUUUCUUUUUACUCCGCAUAUAAAACUGUCUUAACUCAAAUUUUAUAAAUUUUCAUCAAAUUUAUAUUAAAAAAUAUCAACAUCUAUACAAUACUAAAGAUAUAUAAUUUGAAAUUUUAUUCCAUGAUGCAUCUAAUGAUAUUGAUUUGGUAUAGUGAAUGUUGAUAAUUUUUUGUAUAAAAUUGGCCAAACUUUACAAAGUUUGAGUCAAGACAAAUCUUAUAUGAGAGUAAAGAAAUAGAGGGAGUAGUUUACAUACAAAUGAGUCACACAGUGCAUUACGAAAAUAUUGAAUAAACACAUUAUGAAAAUAUAUCUAAUGGUGGGUAUAUUGAAAUUGAUUUGAUAUUAUUUAUCUUCAUAUUUUUUUUUGAACUGUCACCGGGGGAGGGAUAACAAUCCCUCCACCUGUAUUUUUUAUUGCCAAAUCACCAUAAGGAAGGGGGGAGGCCCUNNNNNNNNNNNNNNNNNNNNNNNNNNNNNNNNNNNNNNNNNNNNNNNNNNNNNNNNNNNNNNNNNNNNNNNNNNNNNNNNNNNNNNNNNNNNNNNNNNNNNNNNNNNNNNNNNNNNNNNNNNNNNNNNNNNNNNNNNNNNNNAUCUAACAACACAGACUAGAUCACCGCACCAACGCACUCACCCAAGCAUCAACAUGCGAGCGAUCACUGGGACGUAACCGCUCCCGCCAGAGAACAUCAUCCUCGCGACAGCAGCUUAACGCCCGAUCUAGAGACGGCACCAUAGCUUGAAAGAGCACACCAUUCCAAUGCUUCCAUAGGUGCCAGCAGCAAAGAAGGACAAAGGCGUCAGGAGAGGCCUCUCCGACAGUUGCCCUCACAUCGAAGGCGUGGAGCCGACCCACCGAAGUGUUCCUCGCGAUUACUGCAACCCCCACGGCGCGCCAGAACGCGCUCGCGAAUGGGCAGCCAAACAUCAAGUGGUCCGCAGUUUCCAGCUCGGCCAAGCAUACGGGGCAUCCGCCCCCCGCCCGAUCAACAAUGGUUUUCCGAAGGAGGACAACCCGGGUGUUAACCCCGUGGUGGAUAAGCAACCAGCAGAAGAAUUUCACCCGGGACGGCAUGCGCGCCCCCCAAAUGAAGGCCGCAUGCGGCGAGAAACACCCGCCAAAACGCAGCAGGGCGUAAGCGUGGCUCGUGACAAGGGCCCCGUCCGUGGAUGCCCACAGAGCGGCAGCGCCCUCUCAUCCACGCCCGGCGUCGCUUGGGAAGCCGGGAGGAGGGCGAGGAGGGCCGCGCGCUCCCUAGCGCCAGCCCCGGUGAACCUUGGGACCAGGAUGUGGUUGAGCCCGGACUCCCACACUCGAGACACGGUGGCCUCGGGGCACGUGGUAUGCGAGUGGAGCCGGAAAGGCGACACUCAGGGGCCGCAAGGCAGCCACCAGUCAUGCCAGAAGGAGGUCCUCCGCCCGUCUUUCACACGCACACGAGUCAUGGCUGUUGGGGAACGUAGCAGAAUUUUAAAAUUUUCUACGCAUCACCAAGAUCAAUCUAUGGAGUCAUCUAGCAACGAGGGAGAGAGGAGUGCAUCUACAUACCCUUGUAGAUCAUGAGUGGAAGCGUUCAAAAGAACGGGGUUGAUGGAGUCGUACUCGUCGUGAUCCAAAUCACUGAAGAUCCUAGCGCCGAACGGACGGCACCUCCACGUUCAACACACGUACGGAGCGAGGACGUCUCCCGCGCCUUGAUCCAGCAAGGAGGAGGGAGAGGUUGAGGAAGAGGGCUCCAACAGCAGCACGACGGCGUGGUGGUGGUGAAGCUGCAGUACUCCGGCAGGGCUUCGCCAAGCUCUUACGGAGGAGGAGAGGUGUUGGGGAGGGGAGGGGUUGCACCUUGGAUGUUGUGUGCAACCCUCCCCUCACCCCUCUAUUUAUACGGGAAGGGGGAAGGGGGCUGGCCCCCUCUAGAUGGGAUCUAGAGGGGGGGCGGCGGCCAAGGGGAGGGGGGCUUGCCCCCCAAGCAAGGGGGCGCCCUCUUUAGGGUUUCCCCCCAACCCUAGGCGCAUGGGCCCUAGGGGGGUGUGGCGCCCCAGCCCACUUGGGCUGGUUCCCUUCUCCAUACAGCCCAUAAGGCCCUCCGGAAGAGGUGGCCCCUCCCGGUGGACCCCCGGAACCCCUCCGGUGGCCCCGGUACAAUACCGAUAUGCCCCCCGAACCUUUCCGGCGACCGUAUGACAACUUCCCAUAUAUAAAUCUUUACCUCCGGACCAUUCCGGAACUCCUCGUGAUGUCCGGAUCUCAUCCGGGACUCCGAACAACAUUCGCUAAUCACAUACAAGUCUUCCUAACAACCCUAGCGUCACCGAACCUUAAGUGUGUAGACCCUACGGGUUCGGGGGACAUGCAGACAUGAUCGAGACGACUCUCCGAUCAAUAACACACAGCGGGAUCUGGAUACCCAUGUUGGCUCCCACAUGCUCCAUGAUGAUCUCAUCGGAUGAACCACGAUGUCGAGGAUUCAAUCAAUCCGUAUACAAUUCCCUUUGUCAAUCGGUACGUUACUUGCCCGAGACUCGAUCGUCGGUAUCCCAAUACCUUGUUCAGUCUCGUUACCGGUAAGUCACUUUACUCGUACCGUAAUGCAUGAUCCCGUGAUCAACCACUUGAUCACAUUGAGCUCAUUAUGAUGAUGCAUUACCGAGUGGGCCCAGACAUACCUCUCCGUCAUACGGAGUGACAAAUCCCAGUCUCGAUUCGUGCCAACCCAACAGACACUUUCGGAGAUACCUGUAAUGUGCCUUUAUAGUCACCCAGUUACGUUGUGACGUUUGGCACACCCAAGGCACUCCUACGGUAUCCGGGAGUUGCACAAUCUCAUGGUCUAAGGAAAUGAUACUUGACAUUCAGAAAAGCUACAACAAACGAACUACACGAUCUUUGAGCUAUGCUUAGGAUUGGGUCUUGUCCAUCACAUCAUUCUCCUAAUGAUGUGAUCCCGUUAUCAAUGACAUCCAAUGUCCAUAGUCAGAAAACCAUGACUAUCCUUUGAUCAACGAGCUAGUCAACUAGAGGCUCACUAGGGACGUGUUGUGGUCUAUGUAUUCACACAUGUAUUACGAUUUCCAGAUAACACAAUUAUAGCAUGAACAAUAGACAAUUAUCAUGAACAAAGAAAUAUAAUAAUAACCAUUUUAUUAUUGCGUCUAGGGCAUAUUUCCAACAGUCUCCCACUUGCACUAGAGUCAAUAUUCUAGUUACAUUGUGAUGAAUCGAACACCCAUGCAGUUCUGGUGUUGAUCAUGUGUUGCUCUAGGGAGAGGUUUAGUCAACGGAUCUGCCACAUUCAGGUCCGUAUGUACUUUACAAAUCUCUAUGUCUCCAUUUUGAACACUUUCACGAAUGGAGUUGAAGCGACGCUUGAUAUGCCUGGUCUUCCUGUGAAACCUGGGCCCCUUGGCAAGGGCAAUAGCUCCAGUGUUGUCACAGAAGAGAGUCAUCGGGCCCGACGCAUUGGGUAUGACUCCUAGGUCGGUAAUGAACUCCUUCACCCAGACUGCUUCUUGUGCUGCCUCCGAGGCUGCCAUGUACUCCGCUUCACAUGUAGAUCCCGCCACAACGCUUUGCUUGCAACUGCACCAGCUUACUGCCCCACCAUUCAAAAUAUACACGUAUCCGGUUUGUGACUUAGAGUCAUCCAGAUCUGUGUCGAAGCUAGCAUCGACGUAACCCUUUACGACGAGCUCUUCGUCACCUCCAUAAACGAGAAACAUUUCCUUAGUCCUUUUCAGGUACUUUAGGAUAUUCUUGACCGAUGUCCAGUGUUCCAUGCCGGGAUUACUUUGGUACCUUCCUACCAAACUUACGGCAAGGUUUACAUCAGGUCUGGUACACAACAUAGCAUACAUGAUAGACCCUAUGGCCGAGGCAUAGGGGACGACACUCAUCUUUUCUCUAUCUUCUGCCAUGGUCGGGCAUUGAGCCGUGCUCAAUCUCGUACCUUGCAAUACAGGCAAGAACCCCUUCUUUGACUGAUCCAUUUUGAACUUCUUCAAUAUCUUGUCAAGGUGCGUACUCUGUGAAAGACCAAUGAGGCGUCUCGAUCUAUCUCUAUAGAUCUUGAUGCCUACUAUAUAAGCAGCAUCUCCAAGGUCCUUCAUUUAAAAACACUUGUUCAAGUAGGCCUUUAUGCUUUCCAAGAAUUCUAUAUCAUUUCCCAUCAACAGUAUGUCAUCCACAUAUAAUAUGAGAAAUGCUAUAGAGCUCCCACUCACUUUCUUGUAAAUGCAGACUUCUCCAUAAGUCUGGAUAAACCCAAACGCUUUGAUCAUCUCAUCAAAACGAAUGUCCAAACUCCGAGAUGCUUGCACCAACCCAUAAAUCGAGCGUUGGAGCUUGCACACCUUGUCAGCAUUCUUAGGAUCGACAAAACCUUCCAGCUGCAUCAUAUACAAUUCUUCCUUAAGGAAACCAUUAAGGAAUGCCGUUUUGACGUCCAUUUGCCAUAUCUCAUAAUCAUAGAAUGCGGCAAUUGCUAACAUGAUUCAGACGGACUUCAACGCCGCUACGAGUGAGAAAGUCUCAUCGUAGUCAACCCCUUGAACUUGUCGAUAACCCUUAGCGACAAGCCGAGCUUUAUAGAUGGUCACAUUACCAUCCGCGUCUGUCUUCUUCUUAAAGAUCCAUUUAUUUUCUAUGGCUCGCCGAUCAACGGGCAAGUCAGUCAAAGUCCAUACUUCAUUUUCAUACAUGGAUCCUAUCUCGGAUUUCAUGGCUUCCAGCCAUUUGUCGGAAUCCGGGCACGCCAUCGCUUCUUCAUAGUUCGAAGGUUCACCGUUGUCUGACAACAUGAUUUCCAAGACAGGGUUGCCGUACCACUCUGGUGCGGAACAUGUCCUUGUGGACCUAUGAAGUUCAGUAGCAACUUGAUCUGAAGUUUCAUGAUCAUCAUCAUCAACUUCCUCUCUAGUUGGUGCAGGCACCUCAGGAACAUUUUCUUGAGCUGCGCCACUUACCGGUUCAAGAGGUAAUACUUCAUCAAGUUCUACCUUCCUCCCACUUAUUUCUUUCGAGAGAAACUCUUUCUCUAGAAAGGAACCAUUCUUGGCAACAAAGAUCUUGCCUUCGGGUCUGAGGUAGAAGGUAUACCCAACAGUUUCUUUAGGGUAUCCUAUGAAGAUGCAUUUUUCCGACUUGGGUUCGAGCUUUUCAGGUUGAAGUUUCUUGACAUAAGCAUCGCAUCCCCAAACUUUUAGAAACAACAGCUUAGGUUUCUUCCCAAACCAUAAUUCAUACGGUGUCGUCUCAACGGAUUUUGACGGAGCCCUAUUUAAAGUGAAUGCGGCAGUCUCUAAAGCAUAGCCCCAAAAUGACAGCGGUAAAUCGGUAAGAGACAUCAUAGAUCGCACCAUAUCCAAUAGAGUGUGAUUACGACGUUCGGACACACCAUUACGCUGAGGUGUUCCAGGCAGCGUGAGUUGUGAAACUAUUCCACAUUUUCUUAAGUGUGUGCCAAAUUCGUGACUCAAGUAUUCUCCCCCACGAUCUGAUCGCAAGAACUUGAUUUUCUUGUCACGUUGAUUCUCAACCUCACUCUGAAAUUCCUUGAACUUUUCAAAGGUCUCAGACUUGUGUUUCAUUAAGUAGACAUACCCAUAUCUACUCAAGUCAUCAGUGAGGGUGAGAACAUAACGAUAGCCACCGCGAGCCUCAACACUCAUUGGACCGCACACAUCAGUAUGUAUGAUUUCCAAUAAGUUGGUUGCUCGCUCCAUUGUUCCUAAGAACAGAGUCCUGGUCAUUUUACCCAUGAGGCAUGGUUCGCACGUGUCAAAUGAUUCGUACUCAAGAGACUCUAAAAGUCCAUCUGCAUGGAGCUUCUUCAUGCGUUUGACACCUAUGUGACCAAGGCGGCAGUGUCACAAGUAUGUGGGACUAUCAUUAUCAACCUUACAUCUUUUGGUAUUCACACUAUGAAUAUGUGUAGCAUUAUGCUCGAGAUUCAUUAAGAAUAAACCAUUCACCAUCGGAGCAUGACCAUAAAACAUCUCUCUCAUAUAAAUAGAACAACCAUUAUUCUCGGAUUUAAAUGAGUAGCCAUCUCAAAUUAAACGAGAUCCUGAUACAAUGUUCAUGCUCAAAGCUGGCACUAAAUAACAAUUAUUGAGGUUUAAAACUAAUCCCGUAGGUAAAUGUAGAGGUAGCGUGCCGACGGCGAUCACAUCGACCUUGGAACCAUUCCCGAGGCCCAUCGUCACCUCGUACUUCGCCAGUCUCCGCUUAUUCCGCAGCUCCUGUUUUGAGUUACAAAUGUGAGCAACCGCACCGGUAUCAAAUACCCAGGAGCUACUACGAGUACUGGUAAGGUACACAUCAAUUACAUGUAUAUCACAUAUACCUUUCGUGUUGCCGGCCUUCUUGUCCGCUAAGUAUUUUGGGCAGUUCCACUUCCAGUGACCACUUCCCUUGCAAUAAAAACACUCAGUCUCGGGCUUGGGUCCAUUCUUUGGCUUCUUCCCGACAGCUUGCUUACCGGGCACGGCAACUCCCUUGCCGUCCUUCUUGAAGUUCUUUUUACCCUUGCCUUUCUUGAACUUAGUGGUUUUAUUCACCAUCAACACUUGAUGUUCCUUUUUGAUUUCCACCUCUGCUGAUUUCAGAAUUGAAUAUACCUCAGGAAUGGUCUUUUCCAUCCCCUGCAUAUUGAAGUUCAUCACAAAGCUCUUGUAGCUUGGUGGAAGCGACUGAAGGAUUCUGUCAAUGACCGCAUCAUCCGGGAGAUUAACUCCCAGCUGACUCAAGCGGUUAUGCAACCCAGACAUUUUGAGUAUGUGCUCACUGACAGAACUAUUUUCCUCCAUCUUACAGUUAAAGAACUUGUUGGAGACUUCAUAUCUCUCAACCCGGGCAUGAGCUUGAAAAACCAUUUUCAGCUCUUCGAACAUCUCAUAUGCUCCGUGUCUCUCAAAACGCUUUUGGAGCCCCGGUUCUAAGCUGUAAAGCAUGCCGCACUAAACGAGGGAGUAAUCAUCAGCACGUGACUGCCAAGCGUUCAUAACGUCUUGGUUCUCUGGUACAGGUGCGUCACCUAGCGGUGCUUCUAGGACAUAAUCUUUCUUGGCAGCUAUGAGGAUGAUCCUCAGGUUUCGGACCCAGUCCGUAUAGUUGCUGCCAUCGUCUUUCAGCUUGGUUUUCUCUAGGAAUGCGUUGAAGUUGAGGACAACGUGGGCCAUUUGAUCUACAAGACAUGUUGUAAAGAUUUUAGACUAAGUUCAUGAUAAUUAAGUUCAUCUAAUCAAAUUAUUCAAUGAACUCCCACUCAAAUAGACAUCCCUCCAGUCAUCUAAGUAUAACAUGAUCCGAGUUAACUAGGCCGUGUCCGAUCAUCACGUGAGACGGACUAGUCAACAUCGGUGAACAUCUUCAUGUUGAUCGUAUCUUUUAUACGACUCAUGCUCGACCUUUCGGUCUUCUGUGUUAGGAGGCCAUGUCUGUACAUGCUAGGCUCAUCAAGUCAACCUAAGUGUAUUGCGUGUGUAAAUCUGGCUUACACCCGUUGUAUUCGAACGUUAGAAUCUAUCACACCCGAUCAUCACGUGGAGCUUCGAAACAACGAACCUUCGCAACGGUGCACAGUUAGGGGGAACACUUUCUUGAAAUUAUUUCGAGGGAUCAUCUUAUUUAAGCUACCGUCGUUCUAAGCAAAUAAGAUGCAAAACAUGAUAAACAUCACAUGCAAUCAAAUAGUGACAUGAUAUGGCCAAUAUCAUUUGCUCCUUUUGAUCUCCAUCUUUGGGGCUCCAUGAUCAUUGUUGUCACCGGGAUGACACCAUGAUCUCCAUCAUCGUGUCUUCUUGAAGUUGUCUCGUCAUCUAUUACUUCUACUACUAUGGCUAACGCUUUAGCAAUAAAGUAAAGUAAUUACAUGACGUUUAUGUUGACACGCAGGUCAUAAAUAAAUAAAGACAACUCCUAUGGCUCCUGUCGGUUGUCAUACUCAUCGACAUGCUAGUCGUGAUUCCUAUUACAAGAACAUGAUCAUCUCAUACAUCACAUAUAUCAUUCAUCACAUCCUUUGGCCAUAUCACAUCACAAAACACUUGCCGCAAAAACAAGUUAGACGUCCUCUAAUUGUUGUUGCAAGUUUUUACAUGGCUGCUAUAGGUUUCUAGCAAGAAUGUUUCUUACCUACGCCAAAACCACAACGUGAAUUGCCAAUUUCUAUUUACCUUCAUAAGGACCCUGUUCAUCAAAUCCGAUCCGACUAAAGUGGGAGAGACAGACACCCGCCAGCCACCUUAUGCAACUAGUGCAUGUCAGUCGGUGGAACCGGUCUCACGUAAGCGUACGUGUAAGGUUGGUCCGGGCCGCUUCAUCCCACAAUGCCGCCGAAUCAAGAUAAGACUAGCAACGGCAAGAUAAUUGACAAUAUCGACUCCCACAACUGCUUUCUGUUCUACUCGUGCAUAGUAACUACGCAUAGACCUAGCUCAUGAUGCCACUAUUGGGGAAUGUAGCAGAAUUUUAAAAUUUUCUACGCAUCACCAAGAUCAAUCUAUGGAGUCAUCUAGCAACGAGGGAGAGAGGAGUGCAUCUACAUACCCUUAUAGAUCACGAGCGGAAGCGUUCAAGAGAACGGGGUUGAUGGAGUCGUACUUGUCGUGAUCCAAAUCACCGAAGAUCCUAGCGCCGAACGGACGGCACCUCCGCGUUCAACACACGUACGGAGCGAGGACGUCUCCUGCGCCUUGAUCCAGCAAGGAGGAGGGAGAGGUUGAGGAAGAGGGCUCCAACAGCAGCACGACGACGUGGUGGUGGUGAAGCUGCAGUACUCCGGCAGGGCUUCGCCAAGCUCUUACGGAGGAGGAGAGGUGUUGGGGAGGGGAGGGGUUGCGCCUUGGAUGUUGUGUGCAGCCCUCCCCUCACCCCUCUAUUUAUAUGGGAAGGGGGAAGGGGGGCGGCCCCCUCUAGAUGAGAUCUAGAGGGGGGGUGGCGGUCAAGGGGAGGGGGGCUUGUCCCCCAAGCAAGGGGACGCCCCCUUUAGGGUUUCCCCCCAACCCUAGGCGCAUGGGCCCUAGGGGGGUUGUGGCGCCCCAGCCCACUUGGGCUGGUUCCCUUCUCCAUACAGCCCAUAAGGCCCACCGGAAGGGUGGCCCCUCCCGGUGGACCCCCGGAACCCCUCCGGUGGCCCCGGUACAAUAUCGAUAUGCCCCCGAACCUUUCGGGCGACCGUAUGACAACUUCCCAUAUAUAAAUCUUUACCUCUGGACCAUUCCGGAACUCCUCGUGACGUCUGGGAUCUCAUCCUGGACUCCGAACAACAUUCGGUAAUCACAUACAAGUCUUCCUAACAACCCUAGCGCCACCGAACCUUAAGUGUGUAGACCCUACGGGUUCGGGAGACAUGCAGACAUGACCGAGACGACUCUCCGGUCAAUAACCAACAGCGGGAUCUGGAUACCCAUGUUGGCUCCCACAUGCUCCACGAUGAUCUCAUCAGAUGAACCACGAUGUCAAGGAUUCAAUCAAUCCGUAUACAAUUCCCUUUGUCAAUCGGUACGUUACUUGCCCGAGACUCGAUCGUCGGUAUCCCAAUACCUUGUCCAGUCUCGUUACCGACAAGUCACUUUACUCGUACCGUAAUGCAUGAUCCCGUGAUCAACCACUUGAUCACAUUGAGCUCAUUAUGAUGAUGCAUUACUGAGUGGGCCCAGAGAUACCUCUCCGUCAUACGGAGUGACAAAUCCCAGUCUCGAUUCGUGCCAACCCAACAGACACUUUCGAAGAUACCUGUAAUGUACCUUUAUAGUCACCCAGUUACGUUGUGACGUUUGGCACACCCAAGGCACUCCUACGGUAUCCGGGAGUUGCACAAUCUCAUGGUCUAAGGAAAUGGUACUUGACAUUCAGAAAAGCUACAGCAAACGAACUACACGAUCUUUGAGCUAUGCUUAGGAUUGGGUCUUGUCCAUCACAUCAUUCUUCUAAUGAUGUGAUCCUAUUAUCAAUGACAUCCAAUGUCCAUAGUCAGGAAACCAUGACUAUCCUUUGAUCAACGAGCUAGUCAACUAGAGGCUCACUAGGGACGUGUUGUGUUCUAUGUAUUCACACAUGUAUUACGAUUUCCGGAUAACACAAUUAUAGCAUGAACAAUAGACAAUUGUCAAGAACAAAGAAAUAUAAUAAUAACCAUUUUAUUAUUGCCUCUAGGGCAUAUUUCCAACAAUGGCACGGUAAAGCGGCAGCAUGCCACGGAGAGAUCGCCCAUGUGCCCCGGCAAGGCGGCAGCUCCCAGGGUGGAGAAGGGAUCGCCCAUUCAGCUCCGUCCAUAUCCACGACGCCCACCGGGACGCCGACGAGUGGAGACGAUGAAGCAUCCUGAGCAGCAAGCACGUGUUCUGGGUAGCGAGAUCCCGCACCCCGACACUGCCUUCGCUCUUCGCCCUGCAGACUUGGCUCCAUGCAAUCAAACACUGAGCUCCCGUGGCGCGGUCGGCCGCAUUCCAAAGGAAGGCGUGGCGAAGAGCAUCCAUGGUCUUGACAACAGCCGGCGGAAGGACGACCGCAGCCAUGGCAUACGUGGGGAGAGAGUCCAGCACCGCAUUGAUCAGGACCAGGCGCCCCGCGGGGGAGAGAAGGCGCGCCCGCCGCCCCGCCAAGUAAGCAUCGACCUUGGCGAUCAUCGGCGCGAAGUCAGUCGCCGACAGCUUUUCCCAGAACAGUGGCAGGCCCAUGUAGGGUUGCGGGAACCCCUGGACGGAGCAGGAGAGGGCCUCCACAGCCUCGGUAACCACGUCGUCAGCAACAUGCACUACUAGGGAAAACCCUAGUAGUAGCGCGGCUUUAAUGCCCACUCCCGCGCUACUAAUAAGGCGGUACAGCUAUUACUUAGCAGUAGCGCGUGCGACACGCGCUACUGCUAAGGCACAUAGCUGCAGCGUUUGUUCUCUCUCGCGCUGCUGCUAAUCUAACUAGUAGCAGCGUGUUUACUAUCCACCGCUACUAGUAUUCUUUUUUUAUUUUGAGUGUAUUUAUACGCCGUUAUACAAAUUUUGGUACAAUACCAAUUAUGAGGUUUAUAUCAUUAUGUCCAUAACAGGGUGUCAAAUGAAGGUGGAUUAGGUUCAAGUGGAGGCAAUAUGUGGUGCAUGUCAAAAGUAUACUACUAAUCCAAACUUGAUCUAGUUUGGACUAGUAGUACUUUCGAUGUGCACCACAUGUUGCCUCCACUUGAAUCUAAUCUGCUAGCACAAGCUAUUUAAUCAUCAUCAUAGUGAUUAGCACCAAUAGUAGUUAUUUAAUCAUCAUAGUCAUAGUGUAGCACAUCAUCAUCUUCAAACUCAUUUCUAGCUAGCUAAUCACUCCUGCUGCUCUCUCUCAGGUAAAAUAAUAUAAAACAUGUGUAGCACUCCUGCUUCAUCAAGUUGGAGCAUGCAGAUGAACAUGUCUCCUAAUCAUGGGAUGCGCGUCUGAUUGCUGCCCCCUAGUACUUCUCUGCGAUCGUUCACAAGUUUGCUCCAGUCUUUCACUAUUAAGCAUUCCUCGCUAUUAGAAAUCCUGAAUGCACUAAAGUGCGUUGUAGGAAAUCUUGGUCGUAAGCUAACAAUUCUCAUGCGACCUUUAGUCUCAAUCCAAUGAGGCACAACAUUCAUCAGGAGUCCCUGUUGAAGAACAUCGUAUAGUAACAUACUUAGCAUUGAAAUUUAGCUUAAAAAUAAUGUAUGCAAAAGAUGCACUGAGGACAAAUAGUAAAAAUCUUACCAUCUUUCCUAAAUAGAUGUGACCGUAGUUCAGUAUAAUCACUAUUGGUCGCAUGUUUUGAGUACUAAGAUAAGUCCAGAAAAAUAAUUUGUCUUGACAUCAUGAAGAUCCUCAAGCCAUGAAACAUAAUGACUUAUCUCCUUGUAGUUUAGUUCAGCCCCGGGACAGUAGUAGGUCCUGUCUACCAAGCGCUGGACAUGUUUGCUUGAACGGAAAUAAGCUAUCAAUAGAAAAUAGUUGUCAACUAUUUUUGAAUAAACAAUAUCAAAUAUAUAAAUAUGGUUGAGAAACUCACAUAAUGGUAUAACUGGAGGCGUCUGCACAUCGACCCAGAUGUCGAUAUUACCUUCAAUAUAAUCUUUCGAACGAGUAUCAAAGGUGAUAACCAUAUCAGACUCAAAUGCAUAAGUCUUGCAUAGUGCUUGCCAAGUUUUGCAUCCAAAAUAGGUGUAGGUGUCUAUGUUGUAUAAUUUUACAUGGAAAAUAUAACCAUGUUCGGUCUUCAAGUAAACUCUCUUUACCUCCAUAGUAGUUUCUAUAUGACUGAAACCUAUCUUAUCCAAGACAAAAACUCUUGCAUGGCAGGGGAUACGCUAGUAGAAUAGUAAAAAAAUUAAAUUAUAAGUUGAAGCAAAUGAAGCAGAUGUCAUGCUUAAUUACAAAAAAAGACUUGUCGUUGUGACUUACUGUAUCCACUUCGAAGUUCUCGUCCAGCUUGAUGCUGAAGCGCCUAUCAUCAUCUAGGAAGAUUCUGUCGCACAGGCCACGCUCGUCUUCGCAGUAUUUGCAAAUACCGAAAUCCUUUUCGUCGUCAGACAUUUUCUAUGUUCAUAGUUGAAACAUUAAUUGAAAAUCGAUCGAAGACAACUACCAGGAUACUCAACACACAAAUUCGGGGCACUCGAUAUUUCCAACAUAUUCUGGCACAAGUCAUGCCAAAAUUCACGGAAAAAUCCGGCAUGACCUUUGCUAAAAUAGGACAUAUCGAGCGCCUGAAUUUUGCCGGAACAGAAAUGAAUCAACACUCUGGCAAAACAUAGGCCACUCGGAGGUGUAACCUGCAAACAUGACCGGCCACUUGGGCAAGCACAUGUCCUAUUUGAGCAACACAAGAUAUACAUUUCAGAAUAUCUUAUAGGACUCAUAUUGACAUGAGCAUUCAAUAAGCAAAACCAAAUCGUAAAAUAAAUAAGUAUUCAAAUUAGCAUGCAUUCAAUAAGCAAAAGUAAAUCAUCUCUUGCUCCGUACAUCAUCGAAUAUUAUCACUAAUACAUCCCGAAUAGUAUCAUACAUAUAACAUCACUAAUACAACUAAAACCCUAGCGAACGACGGGUAUCGGCGCGGGCGGUGGACACCCAAAGAGAAGGAACCAUCACAGGAUCAUAGCUCCAGUGAGAUCCCUGGAGAACCUGCCAGGUAUUGGAGAACAUGUGCUCCAGCGCAACCAAGUAGCGACGGACGUGCGCGUCCUCCUCGCGCACACGGUGACGUACCACCUUCACGGGGUCCUCAAGCCUCUCGACCGUCACUGGCCCAUGCGACCGCCACCAAAGAAGGUUCGUGUCAACGACGGGCUGACUCCUCACCAAGCUGCGCCCCCUGGUAGGUAGCGUCUCCCAGUACCAGCCCGGCGGAGCCCAGUCCCGGACAUGGCCCAUCUGGUCCAGCAGGCGUCCUCCACCGAGUCGACGACGAGGAUGCGGGAUAGGCAUCGUCGAUGUCGAUGCGGGAAAAAUUGCUUUAACUAAAAAAUAACAACAAAUGUGACAUAUUCAACUAGUUCUUAGAGAAAAUUCCUUAUUUGACAUUAUCUUAAAAUCUGCUUCCUUAUUUGACACUGGAAAAGUUGUUCUUCCCUAUUUGACACAAGUUCUAAAUUUUAUUUCCUAUAUGACAUUUUCGUCCAUUUUGAGCCUAAAUGACAUCUGAAAAGACUCUUUUGCCCAAUAUGUGGUAUGUGUGUGGGGGGCAAUAGGGCGCACACGCAGCAUCAGUGCGAGGGCAGGAGCACACACGCAGCAACACAUACACAUGCACCAACACACAACGCAGGCGUACACACGCAACAACACGCGCGCGCGUGCACACACACACACACGCAGCAACACACAUGCACACGCACACACACGCAGCAACACACACUUCACGCAGCACACACACAUACACACACACGCAGGCAGCACAUAGGCACACAACCGCACACACACACCCGCGCGCGCACGUACACACGCAGUAGCAAACACACGCAGCAGCACACAUGCAGCAGCAGCACACACGCAGGCAGCACAUAGGCACGCAACAGCACACACACACACGCACGCACGUACACACGCAGCAGCAAACACACAUGCACACACACAUGCAGCAGCAGCACACAUGUGCGCGUGCACCCACACACGCAACAGCACAUGCGCGCGCGCACACAUACCACAUGAAGGGCAAAAUCGUCUUUUCAGAUGUCAUUUAGGCUCAAAAUGGACGGAAGUGUCGUAUAGGGAAUAAAAUUUAAGACUAGUGUCAAAUAGGGAAGAAAAACUUUUCCAGUGUCAAAUAAGAAACCAGAUUUUAAGACAGUGUCAAAUAAGGAAUUUUCUCUAGUUCUUACUAAAAAUAAACUUACUAUAAAUAAAAAUAAACUAGUACCUAAUUAGUACCUAGUUCUUACUAACUAAUUAGUACAUAGGAACUACUUCCCUAAUUACCAUCUAAUUUGAUGAACCUAGGGGUGGAAAGUGGUAGCGGAUAUUCCAAUUAUCCAAUUAAAAGUGAAAUAAAUGGUCAAAUUUUACUCGUUUUAUUAUGCAUUACAAUAGUGUUUAUUCAUCAUCUAAGAAAACAUCAGAGCCACGUUCGUAUCCGAUGACAUCCGCAUCCGAUUCGUUUCCACCCAUAACCCUAACUAAUUUGAUGCAACUAAAAUUUGAAGAACUCUAGGCAGAGGUAGGGGAGGGGGAGGAGCAGGCGUGCUCACCUCGGGUGCCUGCGACGAGGGAAGGGCAGGCGGCGUCGAGGUCGGGGUCGUGGCUCGGGUGCGCGGCGGAGGGCGGCGUCGAGGUCGGGGUAGGGGGCGGCGUCGAGGUCGGGGUCGGGGGCGGCGUUGAAUCCGGGGUCGGGGGUGGCGUCGAGGGUGUGCGGAGAGUGACGGGAGAGCGUGCGGCGGCCGACGGGCGACGGCGGCGGCGACAGCAGAGGAGUUGGAUUUGGUGGAAGUGGCCGUUGGGAAGAACGAACCGUGCGGUUAAGUCAGAAGUAGCAGUAGCGCGUUUCAGGAAGAGCGCUGCUGCUAAGCUAGCUACAGCGCGUUCCUCUAUACACGCUACUGCUAUUCCUUUCUCUUUUUCCCCUUUUCAUUUAUUUUUCUUUACAUUUUUUUCUUUCACCUUUCUCUAUUUCUUCCAGUUUCAUUUACUUUUCUAUUUGAUUUUUAUUUAAUUUUAUUUCCUUUAGCAGUAGCGCCUUUCAGCGUAAACGCGCUACUACAAAGCAAGUAGCGGUAGCGCGGUUCGACAUAGAUCGCUCCUACUAUGUGUAGCCUAUCGGCUAAGCCGUGAGAAUUUUAGUAGUAGCGCUUUUAUCACCAGGCGCGCUACUGCUACAACUGUAUCUGUGGCACCGUUUACAUCAGCUGCUACUGCUAAUUAGCACCAGCGUGCUUUUUUAACACGCGCUACUGUUAAAGUUCUGUGUAUAAGGUUUUCCCUAGUAGUGAUGGAUCGGCACCAGAGUGCUUUUGCUGUAGUUGAUGCCCAGCCCAGUGGCCGCGGCAAAGUCGUCCAGGAUGUGCCGAAGAUACGCCGCCGCUUUCACCGACGCGCGAUGAUGAUGAGGGUGUCGUCGGCGUAUUGGAGCACAAUCGGUGGGUCGCCGUCCACCACCGGAUGCCUGAGCAGAGGGUCUCGCCGCACCAUCCGUUGCAGGACGUCCGCCGCCAGGAGGAAGAGGUGGGGCGAUAUCGGGUCCCCUUGGCGAAGGCCACACCUGACCGGGAACCACGCCCCAGGCACGCCGUUGAGCAGCAUGGUGGAGCGGGAGGAGCGAAGGAUAGCAUCCAUCCACGCGCACCACCUCUCAGGGAAGCCGCGCACCUCCAUAACCCAAUUGACGGAGUCGAAUGCUUUAGCAAAAUUCUUCAUAUUUUUUUAUACAUGUUUGGUCAAACUUACGAAGCAUUGACAUUUUUGACUCAGUAUAUAUGCAAAUGGACCGGGGUUUACGGUUUGCACAGAUAGGAGGGCACGGUGGUUGCCUGCCAACACACAUCUGGUGACCUGGUGUAAAAUACGCAUACCCAUUGUCACCAAAGUUCAUACAGAACAUCGUAGGAAAUGGUGGAGAGCCAUUUCCUAUGCACUAGGGCUAGCCAGUGUUUUUCACCUCUGCACUUCAAAAUACAAGGCCAUUGGCAGGCGCAUAUGCGUAUGCAGGUGCUUGUGUACCUCACAGUAGUACGAAUAAUUUAGAUAAUUGGUCUGCAACACACAUAUAAUAAACUAGUUAGAUAACAACUUUCAAUUUAUAUGUAGGUGCAUGCAUAAAUCAUCUAGGAAGUUCAAACACAAGAUGACUUGCAGGUGGAGACUACAGAGGCACUUGGGUUCCUUACAAUCUGUACAUAUAAGAUGAUUUGACAACACACUUGUAGGCGUUCGAAUCUUGAGAACCGGUGGUUGUAGUCGGUAGUAAGAAAAAAUGAACACACAAUCAUUUAUAGUGUGUUCUAAAACUUCUUCAUAGCAUUCAUUUGCAUAGGUUUCUUUUUGUGGGGAUAUACCUGAAAAAGGCAUAAUUAAGUGAGCCAUGAUGUUUUUUAUAUAUACAAAAGACUACCAUUGAGAUAUGAACAGACUUGCUCGGAUCCUGGUAGCUACACUUAAUUUGAGGAGAGUUGCCGAAUCCUGGUAGCGACACAUCGACAAGAGUAGCCACAUAAAUGAGCUCUUAAGAGUACAUUUAAGAUAUUUGUAAACUGUAUAAGCAGUAGAUUUUUGGAUGGAAAGAAAAGGGUACAAGGCUUGGAACUGGAACUGAAUCGGGUACUCUCUGGAACUGAGUCGGGUACUCUCUGAAGUAUGAAGUAGACACUAGGCGGGCAUGCAGACUGAACAUUCCUUUGCUAAGAACAGCUGCAACCAACUAAAUUAACAUAAAAAUACAUUUUACUCUUAAGAGCUCAUUUAUCCAAAUAUUGGAGUCACUGCCUUCGUGAAUAAUGAUUGCUUGGCGAUUGAUUAAUAAUAAAGAUAAAUGUGUACUAGUGAGGUGCUGCUAGACCUGCAUAUUGAGAAGGUAGAUGUGUCGUCCUUCAGGUUUUGUCAUGUUCCAUUAUCGCUGUCAUUAAUAUUUCUUUUGGAGUAUUACUAUCAUGUAUUACUUGUUGUGAUACCUAUCAUCCUCGAAGUUGAGGAAGAGCAAUGCUUAGUCCUUGCAGGAACAUACGGCGAGCUGAAAAACAUAAUUUACUCUGUGACUCCAAUAUAACCUACACGAGGUUUGAUUUUUUUUUUCCGAAAAGGAGGUUAUCCCCCGGCCUAAUACGAGGUUUGAUGAACGAACUUAGACAACAUGCAACUUUAUUAUUUAUAUUUAUUGUUUGUUUUCUGAGAAUUCUGUAGAACAUUGUAACAAAAAAGUGUGUGUUGCUAGCAUGGAAAGGAAAAUUUAAUUUACCUAAGAAAUGGUAGUCUGCUAAAGUGGUAUAGUCUGAGUGCCUUGUCACGUGCGAUUUAUUUCAGCACCAGACUUAUAUACAUUUCUUAAUCAUAAAUGGGUUUUUCUAUUCUUCAACAACUAAGAAAUAACCUUCUAACUCGCCACUGAGAACCGGUCGAUGAAGACCAUGGGAUUCAUGCAAGUAAACAGAGGAAGUAGAAGAUUUUGAUUGGAGAGCUAUCGGGUUUGUUGAGCGCGAAAUAAGUAUUUCUAAGUCAAACUCAGAGAUAACCACUUGCAAAAGUUUGGGUGUUGUUCCAAGAAAAGAAGCCAUUGCAAUGGAUAAACUCAAGAGAUUAUUGAUAUACUUACUCUUCAACUUAUUCUUAAUUCGGUUCAUUAAUCAAGAUGCAUUCACUUUACAAUAAUCAUGAAGUAUGAGGAGAAACAGGCUCUUGUACAAAUUAUUACAUGAAUGACGGGCGAGAAUGCGCAUAACGUGUGCUGGAAUCAUAUGUAUGUCCUCUUUUCAAAAUAGGCUCAGUAAAAUGAAGUAACUAGAUGCAGCAUUUGGUAUGUAAUUCCUCGCCGAUAAGAGGGAUGAACCUCGACGGCCGAAGCAGAUUUCUGAUUUGCGCACUCCAUGGACUGAUCUUACAUGCUCGGCUUCGAGCUGAGACGGCUCGCGAGCUUCUGGCCGAGAGACUUGUCAGCCUGCACGACCGCACAAGAAGCAAAUUCAGCAUCUUGAUAGUAGUAUUUUUCACAGAACAUGGAAAAAAUUACACAAACUUCUUCAGAGGACAUUGCAUGUGUGGUGCACAUCUGUAAGAAUGUUGUCGUGUUUGAUUACCUGAGACCAGUAGGAGAGCCAGAUGGCCUUGAUCUCGUGGGUGAGGCGGGGGUCGGACAGCGCAUCGAUCCAUCUGUUGAUGAAUCGCUCUUGCCUGCACACACACACACACACACACACCAUUCAGUUAGAACAAUUGCUGGCUAUGUUACUCCCUCUGUAAAUUAAUAGUGAUCUAAACGCUCUUAUAUUAGUUUACGGAGAGAGUAAUUGAUACAAUAGCUUGGUACUACGCACCUUGCCGGGUCCAUGGAGCGGUACCUCUCCCCGGGCUGCUUGAAGUUGUUCUCCUUCUCGAUCACCGUCUACAAUUCAUGCAUUUUAAGUUUUGAACUUGCUGACUUGUGAGAAGAAGAGAUGAGGAGGUAGCAGGAGUACCUUCUCGCGGCGGCCGUUGAGGGUGCGGGAGGGGAUGGGGUAGCGGGGCGCGUGCUUGGCGGGGUCGAACCUGGAGGGGAAGUAGUCGACCUCCUCGUCGCGGUGCAUGAAGUUCAUGAGCCCGUCGUAGUGGUUGUUGUGGUGGGAGCACUUGGGCGCGUUGGCCGGCAGCAGCAGGUAGUUGGGCCCCAGCCGGUGGCGCUGCGUGUCCGAGUAGGAGAAGAUCCUCGUCUGCAGCAGCUUGUCGUCCGAGUAGUACACCCCGGGGACGAUGAUCCCGGGGCAGAAGGCCAGCUGCUCGUUCUCCGCGAAGAAGUUGUCGAUGUUGCGGUUGAGCACCAGCCGCCCCACCGGCUGCAGCGGCACCACGUCCUCGGGCCACGUCUUGGUCACGUCCAGCGGGUCGAAGUCGAACCGCUCCUCGUGGUCCGGGUCGAUGGUCUGGAUGUAGAAGGUCCACUCCGGGUAGUUGCCGGCGGCGAUGGAGUCGGUCAGGUCCUUGGUGGCGUGGCUGUGGUUGGUGCCGCCCACGGUGACCGCCUCGUCCUCGAGGAGGGACUUGACGCCGCAGGUGGGCUUCCAGUGGAACUUGACGUAGUGCGCCUUGCCGGCGCGGUUGACGAGCGUGUAGGUGUUGACGCCGGAGCCGUCCAUGUGGCGGUAGUCGGCGGGCACGCCCACGUCGUCGAAGAGGAAGGUGAACAUGUGGAGCGACUCCGGGUGGUGGGAGAAGAAGUCGAGGAUGCGCCAGUUCUCCUGGAUGUGGGUCUUGGGGUUGGGCUUGAGCGCGUGCACCAUGUCCGGGAACUUCAUGCCGUCGCGGAUGAAGAAGACGGGGAAGUUGUUGCCGACCAGGUCCCAGUUGCCCUCCCGGGUGUAGAACUUGAUGGCGAAGCCGCGCGGGUCGCGGAGCGUCUCGGGGGAGCCGCGCUCGUGGAUCACGGUGGAGAAGCGCACGAUGACGGGGGUCUGCACGCCGGGGGCACGGAGGAAGUCGGCGCAGGUGAGGUGGGACACGUCGUGGGUCACCUCGAAGAAGCCCUUGGCGCUGGCGCCCCGGGCGUGCACCACCCGCUCCGGGAUGCGCUCGCGGUCGAAGUCGGCGAUCUUCUCCACCAGGUGGUAGUCCUCCAGCAGGAUUGGGCCUGAAUUCACAGUCACAGUACAUACAAGCAUCGUCAGUAAAUCAAUUUGCAGGCGUCGUCAGCAUCAAACACUCGAUUGAUAAUUUGAUAUGCAUGGUAUGUUUGUCCUGAAUUGUUCUUAAUCUCCUCUAUGAUUAUUAACACUUAAAGAAUAAUCAAGUUCUUUGUGUCUUUCUUUCACCAUGAAUGAUUCAGUUGUUCCCAAUCCUANNNNNNNNNNNNNNNNNNNNNNNNNNNNNNNNNNNNNNNNNNNNNNNNNNNNNNNNNNNNNNNNNNNNNNNNNNNNNNNNNNNNNNNNNNNNNNNNNNNNNNNNNNNNNNNNNNNNNNNNNNNNNNNNNNNNNNNNNNNNNNNNNNNNNNNNNNNNNNNNNNNNNNNNNNNNNNNNNNNNNNNNNNNNNNNNNNNNNNNNNNNNNNNNNNNNNNNNNNNNNNNNNNNNNNNNNNNNNNNNNNNNNNNNNNNNNNNNNNNNNNNNNNNNNNNNNNNNNNNNNNNNNNNNNNNNNNNNNNNNNNNNNNNNNNNNNNNNNNNNNNNNNNNNNNNNNNNNNNNNNNNNNNNNNNNNNNNNNNNNNNNNNNNNGAACAUCACUAUAGUAUGUCUGAACAUUUUUUGUAAUCUCGGACUUCGUAUCUAGCUCAGUUUGCCCUGACAAUUUGAAUCCCCAGCGAGCCACUAAUCACUUAGGAUUGCAAGGUAAUCAACUUUCUUUGUGCUGUCUGAAAUUAAAGCUAGUACCAGGUUUCACUUCUACAAGCUGGUGUUAAUCCUCGACGACUUAAUGGAAUUCUUAUGGUAGAAAGUAGGAAAUGUGAAUUGGGUGUGGCUAGGUCUUAGUUGACGACUUAACCAAGUCUAAAUCAAGUGAUAUAGUAGUAUGUAAGAAGAAGAAAAAACUGAGACAUAUCAAAGGAAGAUACUAUCGACUGAGGCAUGACAAAGUCUCAGUCGACUGAGACUUAGCAAGACUGAUGUGAAUUUUGUAACAAUGAAGAGAGCAUUGAUCACUUAUUCUUUUCUUGCUCACUAACUAGAUUCUUAUGGAAUGUUACUGGGGCUGCUUUGGGAAAUUCCAAAAUCUUUUCUCGAUUUAUGCCAGAAUUGGUUACCUAGCUAUACUGGCAAGGAUAGGGCUAUGAUCUCUAUAGGCGUUGCUGGACUUUUAUGGAUCAAUUUGGAAAAGAAUGAACAAAUCUUGCUUUCAAAGUUAUAUUUUCUAAUGAUCUAACGAUUGUUAUAUUUUCUUUAUGUUGUCUGCUGGAUUCGUGUUCAUGGAUUGUUCUAUAGAAAAGAGGGUUGCAGAGAAUUGCUGCUCAUAAUGUGUAGAAGACGAGUGAAAUCUUCAAGGGAGGGCAUGGCUGGGGGCCUACGGUCAAAAGGAUGCAUGCGUAUCAGUGAAGUGAUUUUGGGCUUUGCUGAAUGGUUUCAGUGUUUUUCUCUUUACAUGUUGUGUGUAAUACUUGCUAGUAUAUAACAAGUCUCUUAUCUGAGUUGAGUCACCUAGUUAAUCUAGGCAGUGCUUGAUGCUUAGCGUGUACUCCCUCCGUUCGAAAUUACUUGUCGCAGAAAUGGAUGUAUCUAGACGUAUUUUAGUUCUAGAUGCAUCCAUUCCCGAGACAAGUAAUUCCAAACGGAGGGAGUAGUUGCUGGGUGUGACAGGGUUUGUAUCUCCCCUACCCCUAGUUAAGUUUGUGUUACUUCUAGUUUAGACCUCUGAUCUGAUGUAGGCCGGAUGUAUGUCUUGAGGAGUGUAUGGCUGUUAUUGCCACAUCUUUGUACUAGAAAAAUACUCUGUUUCCUUAAUUGAAAACGGGGGCCUGGAGGCUCCUCUGAUGAAAAAAGAAACUCCGGACGAUUUUAUUAGUAACAAAUUAAAGCUACGGCGCACCACUUUGCUCUGCUGUAGUGCUACUAUGACUCGGAUGGAGAGAGAGCGGCCACACCACACGUCCGUGGUUCGGCAAGCAGUGGGACACGAAGGGAAGGGAAGGGAAGGAGAGCGGAUGGUAUAGGGUAGGGUACCUCGGGAUCCGACGGUGAGGGAGUUGUCGUUGUUCCAGACGGGCGCGCCGGAGUUGGUGCUCCACAUCGGGGCGUUGAAGGAGCUCGACGGCCGGUACUGCACCACACACGCAGCGCACACGACUCCCCAUCAAAACCGCAAGCCAAGAACCAGCGCGAGCUACCUGGGCAGCGGAGAGCAGAGCACGCACCUUGUAGGGGUCCAUGGCGAACGGAGGAAGCAACGAUCGAUCGACUCGACGGACGGCCGGCGGUGCGCGCGCGGAAUGACGACUAGGCGAGCCCCGCCGCGCGGCGCGGAUGCUUUAUAGCGGGAACGAGAGGGCGAGAAAGAUUUGUCCCCGUGCCGGACGCUUCUGGGUUGUUUUGAUCGUGGGCGUACGUGUGCUUGUGCCUGCUCCGGGGGUCGGGUGGGCGGAUACGGGCCGCGCGCGCCUCAUCCACGCGCGCCCCGCCGGGCGCUCCCCGGCCAGAAUAAAACGGGCAGUUUCCGGCGCGGCCGUCGGAUAAACGUGAACUGGGUGUGAACGGGGCGGGGGAUGCGAAUUUGGCACAUGGCCAUGGCACGCACGCGACCGUGCCACGCCGGAAGAGCCGCCUGCCUUGCCCGGAAGGAACUAGUAGCCAGACAAAAAAAAGAAGAGAUUUUUCACCUCACCUCUUUUCUCCUACUGCUACUGAUGAAGAUUUUUCACCUCAUGCGUCAAGUGAACCGCCAAGUUACACGUUGGGCAUUGCGCGAAAAUUACUCGAGACGUCAGAGCUUGUGCCGCUCGCUUCAGUGUGCUUCUCUCUUCGGUGCUUCACACACCAUCUUACAAAACCUUUUUCAAAACUGCUCUGUAAGCAUUCACCAAAGGUGCCUGCAUAGGAAUCAAGCAAAUCUGGCGCCGCGUCUUCUAUGAAUUAUAUAGACAGCAAAAAUACAUGGGCGCUAAGAUCAGGGCAGAAAGACAGCGGACACAUGAUUGUACUUUUAAGACCACCACGAUUCAAUAUGUAUGUACACCGACGACCCAAGGUACUACUACCAACAGCAAUAUACCACAGUUUAACCACCACGACACGACACAGGACUCAUGUAUGCAUGCAUGCAUGCAAAGGGUAGCCAGUAGAUACACUGGUUUAUUCAUCCAUCUUAAAACCACAUAGAAUCUAGAGAUGCUGCCUUUCAAUCUCACCGAGACCGGCUAGGGUAUACAACCAAUCAAACCUCACAAUGCCAACUACUACUAU